RNAcentral lists this long non-coding RNA (50014 nucleotides) under Citrus sinensis (sweet orange). RNAcentral's name for it is "long non-coding RNA (CSIN_LNC004171)". Lineage: Eukaryota; Viridiplantae; Streptophyta; Magnoliopsida; Sapindales; Rutaceae. The record is from RNAcentral.
GAUGGUAAGAUCACGGCCGAGGAGUUGUUCGGUGUUUUCACCAAAUUAGGGGACGAGCUGUGCACGUUAGACGACUGCCGGGGCAUGAUAGCGCUGGUGGAUAAAAACGGGGAUGGGUUCGUCUGCUUCGAGGACUUUUCAAGGAUGAUGGAGUUGCAGAGAUGAUCGUGAUUAUAUUGUUAUCUAUACAUAAAUCAAUAUGUUUUUAAAACACCCCGUGAUGAUAAUGAUGAUCAUGUGAUUAUGUUUCCUCCUCUUGAUCGUAUAAAACCAAAGUCGUUAAUUUUUUCCUUGAUUAUUAUUAUUAUUUAUAUAUAUUUGCUAAUGUUUUAUUUUUCUUUUAUUUUUAUUAUUAUUGUUAUUUGGGGCAUAAGAAUAAUUUUGAUCAGCGAUCAGUUGAUCACAUCGAGAGAUUGGGUGAUUGUUGCUUUCAUGAUAAUGAUUAUUUUAAGAUUUUAUGGACUUAUUUUAGGCACGAUUCGGAGGAUGUGCCGGCGCCACUGUGUUUGAUAAGAUUGAGUUGAGUACUAACAAUGGUUGUGAGAAAUUAGUUUUACUGACUGUAGUGAAUUAAAUAAAGGCUUUAAGUAGUUAUCAGCAAUCGUGGGCAACAACAGCUAGCUUCAUUAAUUGUUUUUUUGCAUAUUCACACUCAUAUUUAUAAAAAGUAAUAUAUAUUUUUUUAAAAUAUUGGUAACUCCAAUCGGUGAUUAUUAAAUUUGUAACUUUGUAUCAACGAGGGGUGGUAGAAUUUCUUGAAUUCUUACCGGAAUUUAGAUUCCUGGUUGUUUAGAGUGGGAUUUGAUGCAAAAUAUUGUUUUGAUUUAUUAUUCGUAUUAAGAUUUGGAACUCAAAUUUAUCCUAAUUAACUAUCCGAAGAUUUGGGAGUUUGGAAAUUUCAACUAAGAUCUUAAAAAAUGUAUGACAAGUUCGUUCGAUAACAUGACGGUUAUAUUUGUACGAUAAGUCAUUUUAAUAAAUAAUAAAUAUGAUGUUGAUUAUAUUUAUAUGAUAUGUUUAUGACAAAUCUACAACGUAUAACAUAAAACUCAUAUCAUCUGAGACAAUUUAAAAUUCUAAUCGAAUUGAAAUUGACACAUAUUGUUAUCCUAAUUUACUGUUCUGAACGAGAUUCAAGAUAUUUUUUUGUCCCUAUUAAUAAUUAAGAGCAAAUCUCGAUCCACCUUGUUUCGAUACCAACCUAGUAUCAAUGUCACAUUGUGAGGAAAUUGUAAGGGCCAACUUCAAUCAAUGCAAUCUUAAAGGAGAGGACAACCCAAUUAAAGUUCCGUUUGGUGGAAGUGCUGCGUUAUCACACACCCAACUGCUUUGGCUCUCACAACCCAGCACCCUCAAAUGAAAAUCAUAGAAAUUUUAGUAAAAUUUUAUUUCGCAACUUUGUUGCCAGCUCUCUGAUCGUUAAAUUGUACUUCUCAAACAAUAAUAUUGGUUAUUUGGUUGCACAAAUGAUAAUUUUUAGAUUCAUAUGAACUUUUUUUCUCCGUAAGCUCUUCUUUUUUAUCAAGCCACUGCAGUGAGAACUCUUAUUUCUGUAACUUUAUCUUCAAUUUUUGAGUUUCUAUUUUGUUCUUUUUCUUUUUCAUUUUUUUUCUUUUAUCAUUUAAAAUAGAUUUCUCCAUGGAUCUCUAAACCUACAGAGAAAUUUUUUCUACCCAAAUCAAGAAAUGUAAUGAAUAUUUGUUGUUUUAUUUUUGCAUGGUGUAGUCAGGUUGUGUUUAUUAUUAUAUAUAGCCCAAUUGUUACACGCGCAUCUUCUUUUUGGGAUGAAGCUACUCUCACAUAUUUUUGUUGUAUUUUUAUCUCUCUGCAAUCUAAUCUCUAUGUAUAUUUUGAGAACAUAGAUAUUUUUUUAGUAAUGAUUAAAUGAUGACACAUUAAUUUGUAAUUAAAAUUGGUAUGAACAAACUCUCUAAAAAGUAAUAUCACUAAUAUGUGGAGGUAAUUUGAUUUUUAAUCACUUAUUUGUCAGAACUCAGAACGGGCAAUUCGGUGAUUAGAAAUUUAAUUACUUAACGUAAGUUAAAAUGCAUAAAAUAUUGAUAAAUAAUCUGACAUUUGGCGCAUAAUAAUAAUAGAUAAAGAAGCAUGUCGCUUUCAAUAACUUCGAUAGUUGCAAGGCAUCGCUUUUAAUAAAGUCAUUUUAGUAAUAAUACAAUUCAAGAUUCCCGUCUAUGCACGUUAAUAUGUACAUAUAUUUUUAAUUGCGUAUAUUCUUUUUAAUAUAUAUAUAUAUAUAUAUACUGCUGUUCACAAGAAUGUCUUACACAUUGCAUGUUUUUAAUUUUCUUCUGACACAAACUUAAAUUUUCUUAUCAUUAUUUUGCAGCUUAUAGUAGACGUUAUGGAUCCGAAAUUCCAUCAUUAUUAUUGUUAUUAUUUGUUUCAAAUAUAACAUUGUAACUUCCAUCUCACAAGUUAUCAUCAACAUCAUUAACUAAUAAGAGCAAUAAAAAUCUUUGGCUUAUUGGGAGGGUAGUAGGCAUCAAUAGUAAUCUCUUAGUUGUAAUCUGAAUAAGAGUCUCAUGUAAUUUAAAAGAAAAAAAAAUAAAAAUUAAUUCAUUAAUUUGCACCUACUUCUUGUUAGAUGAUUAAGUACUAAUUUGGUAAUGUUAUAAUUUUAAAAAUUAUUAUUACUAGUUGUACUGUAAAAAUAAUCAAUGGUAGAGAGAAUUAGUUAAAAACUUAGUAAAAUUUAUUUUUAAAAAUAAUUUUAUAUGUUUGGUAAAUCUGCUAUAAAAAUAUAAAUUACUGAAAUAAAUAUAAUGUUAAAUAAAAUUUAUUUAUAAUUUUAUAUAUUUGUAGUCAUGUAUAUACUUUUUUUUAUGUGUACAUAAUAAUAAUUGAUAACUAAAAUAUAUAUUUUUAUUUUAUUAAUUCUAUUUUUUUCAAUAUAAUUGAUAAUAAUAAUAAUUUCUUUAAAUUUAAUAAUUUUAUUUCCUAAUUGAAUAACGAUAAUUUUAAAUUUUUAUAAUAUAUUUGAGGAUAUAUAAGAAAUUUCAUUAACUAUAAAACUGAUUCUCAAGUUAUAGAAGGAAGAUUAAAUUUUAUUGCAUUGUAUUAAGUAUAAAUGUGGGAUUGGGGAAUUAGCAUUUAGAAUGAGAAUGAUGAUUAUGUUUACUUGGGAUGAAAAUAAAACAUGUGAACCCACAUAUUUUUGAGAUUAAAGAAUAGAAAUUUGAUUCUAAAUUUCUUAAAUACACCAUUUUACCCCACUCAAAUUUUAUAAUUUCACUUUUGUUCUCAAUUAAAAUACUAUAAUGUUAUUGUUAUUGUUAUUAUUCUUAUUCUAUGAUCAUUAAUAACAAUAUUUUUUAGAUAAUAAUAAUUAUUAUUAUAAAUGAUACAACAAUUAUUAUUCCGAUUCUUAGAUAAAGUAAACAAAUUAAUGAGAGUUCAACACAUUCAGUUCUGAUUUUCACAACUCAAGUAAAGAGCGUAUUAUGAUUCUCAUUCCAACCUAUUCUGAUUUCGGUUUAUUCUGAUUUCAGCGUAUUUCGAUUGCCAAUUGGUAAACGCCUUACAAAAAUAAUCAUAUGAAUACAUAUGAAAUUGCUUUCAAAUUACUCAUUCUUUGCUUUUCAAAAUAUAUUAUGGGAUGAGGUGAUUUUGCGAUUUUGUCAUAGGUGAUUCUUAACAAAAUUCACUACAAAUUAAAAUUAACUUUAAACUUUUUAAAAUCACUUUUCGUAUUCUCAAAAGAAAUCCUAAAUGGAUGCUAAAUUUUAUAGAAGGAAGAUUAAAUUUUAUUAUUGCAAAUACAACAAGCGCAAUAUAUGUUUUUUUUCCCUUCAUAAAUAAAUGAUUGGUGCGUAUCAUUAUUUAUGAAUUAUGUAAAAUGACUUUAUCAUGAUAAACAUUAUUUUUCAUGACAAGUAAUUAGAUAGGAAAUUUUAUAAUUUGAAAUAAUUAUUAUUUUUUGUCCACAAAUUCGGAUUUACUUCUAAGAAUUUAAAAAAGAAAAUCAACCACCAUAACUUCAUAAUACACACACCACAAGAAAAAAAAAAAGUGGACUUCAAGAAUAAAUGGAGGAGGUGCCUACCAGGACUUCGGAGUUUGCUUUUAGGGUCCAAUUAUGUUGCAACAAUAGUACGGUAUUAUAGUUACUUUCAGUUAUUGAAUCUAACUAAUGCAAUUGUAUAACUGUAGAUCCAAUGACUAAUUAUAACUGUGGUACCAUAUUACAGUUGUAACAUAAUUUUGCCCUUGCUUUUAUUGAUGUUCUUAUUAAUAUAAUAAUUAUACGGUAGGUGAAGUCAUAAUUAAAAAUUAGUCCGAAAGCUGAAAAAGAAACGUCAAGGAAACAAGGGCGGUUUGGCGUGAAGUGAGGGAAGGAGGAACAUGGCUUUUCUACUUCUCUUCUUUAAUUCGAACAUGGCAAUGCAUACCACGACACAUCAAUUCUUUAAAUAUUAAUUUUGAUUUGAAUUAUGUUUAUUUUUUAUAUUUAUUUUAACUCAUAUGAUAUCUGACGUAUCAUUACUUGACACAUGCUGUAAAAAUCAACUUGUUAGUAAUAGAUAAAUAGAUAAUGGGUCUGCUUACAGUACAGAUAUUCAAUGAUUCGUACAGCUACGGUUAAAUAAUUUAAAAAUUAACAAAAAUCAUUAAAAUAUUAUCAUCUAAAUUGUAGAAUAUGAUACCCUAAUUCACAACCAUAAAUAAUAAAAUGGAUUACCACAAUAUAUUUAAUCACUUUGAGUCAAAAAUGAUAUAACAUCAUAACAACUAUGUAAAUAAUAUUGUUGUAAUUGUAACAUUGAUUUUUAUUUUUUUUUUUGAAAUGAAAAUAUAGCUUUCAUUCCCUCCGCAAAUUGUAUCCUUAUUUCCCAAUUGUAACAUUGAUUAGACGCCACUUCGGCCUUGGUCGGAGUGGUGGGCUGCUGCCCUCACAAUGCUUGUGAGGGCAGCGGUUCAAGCUCCCACAAAAGCAUUUGUGGGGGCUAACGUGCUUAUUUGUUUAAUAUUUCAAAAAAUUUCUUCUCCCUCGUGCAAUACGAGUGGAGUAUGGACCUCCCUCUUCUGUAAGGGAUUAUUUGUCUGGGCAUGUACUUCACAGAAUUCAAUGUAAUAAUAUAAGUCCCAAUCAUGUAUUUCUGAUUGUAAAUAUCAGUGUAAUAUAUUUGCUAUAAUAGCAGUUGUAAAUAUCUGUGUAAUGCAGUAAUAUGAUGAUUAAUCAGUAUUCAAAAAAAAAAAACAUUGAUUAGACAAAAAGGAAAAUGAGAUUAUUUAUUGGAAUAAGGUGGGGGUGCUUUUUCCAAUGUUAGUUGAUGUCGUGCUGUGUGCUCCAUGACUUUUUCCAGUUUUUCUACUUUCCUCGAAGCUUCUUUCACUGUCCUCUCAGUCAGAAAAAUCAAUGGAUCCAACCAUUUUUGUUAUUGAUCAAUUAAUUAAUUUUUAAUAACUCAUUCAUUUUUCAUAAAUAUUUAUAAAUAUAGGAUCAAUUCUAUUUUAUUAGGUGUAAGUAUUUUAAAUAUUUCUAAUAAAUUGGUCCGACCACGUUAUUGUAGGGGCACAUCAAUUUUGUAACUCUAUGAAUUUAAAAGUUUCAAUAUGUCCAUCAUAUUACUGCUUGAACCUAAACUUUUGAUUACAAAACAAAUAUUUGUUAGAUUCUUCCCAAAAGAAAAAAAAAUUAUUGCAUCAAAAUAUGUGUCCAAUUAUUUACUAAAAUCGAUUUAAUUUCUUGUUAUAAAUUUAUCGGAAUUGUGCUAUUUUUGUGAUGUAACGAAUAGGUGUUUCUUUAUUUUCAAAAAAGUAAAAUAGACGUUGUUCAAUUUCAAACUUUCCCACCUCAACGCCCGAAUGCCGAGGCAUUAAUUUGAAUAAACAAAUAAUUGUACUUGAUCUUUGGGGUUGAGUCUUGGAAAGCUCUUAUGUCUGGGACCUGUCUAUGGUACAGAUUCUGUGACAAACAUCUCCCAUCAUCCCACCAUCCGAUUUUCUAUUGUUUAGUUUCUCACUCCACAUCCAACCACAUCCAACGGCUGAUGCUGCAGUCUGUACCUUACAGAUUCUGUAAGCUAGUCGAGUCCCUUAUGUCUGCCGUAACCUGCACUCUCAAUCACAGUCAAGGUAGAAAACAAAUGGUCACUUUCACAUUUGAUUGCUUUCAGUGAAUGGCAAAGAUUAUGGACUUGACUAGCUCACAGAAUCUGUAAGCUACAGACUGCAGUAUCAGCCGUUGGAUGUGGUUGGAUGUGGAGUGAGAAACUAAACAAUAGAAAAUCGGAUGGUGGGAUGAUGGGAGAUGUUUGUCACAGAAAGAUUAUAAUUUGUAGCAUAAAUAAUGUAUUAUCUAAUAAAUCAAAAAUUAUAGGGAUUAGCCAAUAAAUGAUAGGAUAUCAUUGAAUAAUAAAUCAGACAACAAUAAUAAAGGUAUUAUAGAUUUUUCAAUGAAUCUUUUUGAAGUUAGUCUAGUUCUCAUAAACUUGCUCAACAAAUAUGGGGACAUUAUCAAUGGGCUUUUGGUUCAGUGGGAGAAUUUUUGUACUUAUAAUGUUGAGUGUAAGGGUUUGAGCCUCCAUAAAAAUAUUAUGGGGGUUAAUUUCAAUUUUUUCUCGAUUAUCAAAUAAUUAAGUGGAGCCAAUUUAUCUCUUUCGAAAUAUGAGUGGAGUGGACAGUCCUAAAAUAUUAGAGAGGAUUUAAAGAAUCUGGACAACGCUUUAGAGGAGUACAUGCCACGAAGAAGGUCUCAGUUGUAUAAUCUAUUUGUAAAUAUUAAUUGUAAUAUUUGAUAUAAUAUCAGUAACAGUCCUGUAUAACAAUAUUAAAAAAUAAAAUAAAUAUGGGGAUAUCUGCAGGAAAUGAGGGACACAAAGGUGAUUGAGAUCAAAAUGUUUAAAUAAGGGACAUAUUUGCAUUUACCAGUUUCUUGACAAAGCUUUUGUGUAAAUUGAUAAUGGAUUUCUCACUGGAUUAUUUGUCAGUCUUGUGGUAGCUAAAUUUACAUGAUUAAUGAAGGAACAUUGGCAAUUAUUAAAAAGUUUUUCUUUCUUCGAAAACACUUUUUUCAGAGAAAAAAGUGUUUGAAUGAAAGUUGUCUGAAGUCGUCAUGGCUUAAUCUUAGUCACUCCUGGAUUGGGUGUUUUCUUUUUCUUUUCUUUUUCUUUUUCUAGUCUUCUUUUCUUCUCUUUUUAAUCUUCAUUUACUUUUCUCCCCAUUUAGAGAUAGCAAGCGUCAAGCAAAAAGAAAGAGGACAACCAAGGUUAAGGUUGGUUUAGCUAUAGUCUCAUCAGGAGUGGUGGUAAGCUAUUACUGUUGAAAGGCAAUCAACUAGUUUCAGGAAUGGAUGCAAAGGAAUUAAUCAAAAAGUGCUAAGCAAUUUCGUUAAAAGAGGAAGAAGAGGAUAUAGUAACAUUCAUGGGAAGAAUGAAGAUUAAAAGAGAGAGAACUGCUGCAAAUUGUUUAGUGGGAAAAAUUUUUACACACGAGAGGAGUCAAUAUAAAGGUUUAAAAAUAACUAUUCAACAAGUAUGGAGAACAAUUAAGGAAGUAAAGGUAGAAAGCAUGGGUGAAAAUAUAUUCUUAUUCAAGUUCGGCUCAGAGGAGGAGAAAAAAAGAAUCUUGAUGGGAGGGCCAUGGCACUUCGAUCGAGCACUGAUAGUGUUAUCAGAGCCAAGUGGUAUUAGUAAUACAAAGAAACAAUCCUUCAUGUACAUAUCAUUUUGGGUACAAAUUCAUAAUUUAUGCAUCAUGUGCAUGAAUAAAGAUGUUAUUACAGAGGUGGGGAAAAAGAUUGGCAAGGCAUAGGAAAUUGAAACAGAUGAUGUAGGGGAGUGUAUAGGCCAGUUUGCCCGAGUUAGGAUUUCCAUAAAUGUCACACAACCCUUGAAGAAGGUAGUAUUUGUGCAAAUAAAUGGGGCCAAAAUUUGAAUGCCAGUGCUAUAUGAAAAUCUACCAGACUUUUGUUUUUGUUGUGCUCAUAUUGGCCAUCAGUACAGGGAAUGCUUGAAGUAUAAGGGCCAGCCAAAAGAAGAGUUACCAUAUGGAGGGUGGAUAAGAGCAAUGUCACAAUCAGAAAGGGUGAAGCUAAACCGAAUGAAGGAGAAAGACAUUCAUGAACAAAUCCAAGUCAAAGGAAGUGAUGCAGCAGUCAAUGUCCCAAAACCGCAUCAAAGUCAUUCGAAUUCGAUGUUUCUCAAAGACUACAUUCAAGCACCAUGGACAAUGAGAAGGAAACCAGAGGUGCACUAGGGGUCACAAGUCAAGAGCCUACUAUUGCAAGAAAACCACUUAAACUAGACAAGGACCCAAAUGGAAAUCUGCAAGUAGAAAGUCAGACCUUGGGCAAUGACAAUAGCAAGGUGCAGUGUAGGAGGGUUAGUAGUGAUAGCAGCUCUAGAAACAAGAGCCCACAGGAGGUAAAUGAAAAUUAAAGGGAAAAUGCUACUAAAGAGGAUAGUUAAACUAAUUUGAAUAAGGAUCAACCCACGUCAGAUGAAGAAGAAGUGGAUAACGGGCCAAACAAAGUCAAACCUCGGCCAAGACCAGAAAAUGGAAAAAAACAAGAAAGAUUUUCAAGAGGGGAAAUAAGGAGUGCAAAUGAGCUUUUGAGUAUAAAAAGACCAAACAAUGAGUUGAUAUGGCCUAGCCCUGAAAGUAAAUGUAAAAGAAUAUUCAACCCCUUAAAGCAAUCAAACAGUGAGAACUUCUCCAGCUCUUCUAAAGCGAAACUUCAACUGAAACUACUUAAUACAGAGCAUAAUACAAUGGUGGACUUGGAGAAAAUGAAGGAAGACAUCCCCUAGCUCUCGCUAGCAAUCAUAAAGAUCCUAAGUUAGAACGUUCAAGGUUUAGGGAAGACUCGAACGCGCCUAGCCAUGAAGAAAGUUCUCUACCUGCAUAAGCCAUAUAUCUUUUUUUGUUGUGAAACUAAAAUGCUGGCCAAGCAGGUUUAUGUAGAAUGUAGGAAUUUUAAUUUUGAGUACUGUUUUGCGGUUGACAGAAAUGGAAUGAAAUGAGGACUAGCCCUAUUUUGGAAUGCAAAGGACAUUAUUGAAAUAAAGUCUUAUAGCCAUCACUACAUCGAUGCUUUGGUACAUAAUAAUAAUGGAAAGGUGUGGCGUUGCACAGGGGUAUAUGGCCAUCUGGAAACUAAUAAGAAACAUCACACUUGGACACUCCUGGAGAGGCUAGCAGGUAUCUUCUUUUAUCCUUAGUGUUGCUUUAGAGACUUUAAUGAGGUAAUGUACCUACAUGAAAAAUCAGGGGGCAAUGACAAACUUAAAUAUGGUGGCUAAGUUUAAAGAAGUUGUUGAGGCAUGCAAUUUGAUGGAUAUUGGCUAUAGUGAAUACCAAUUUUCAUGGUUGAAUAUGAGAUAUGACCCCAAUUUCAUUGAGGAAAGAUUAGAUAGGUUUUUAUGCAACAAAGAUUGGAGGGACAAAUUUCAAGACUCAACAACAACAAAUCUAGUGAAUUGGGUCUCAGAUCAUUACCCAAUCCUAAUGGAGGUGAAAGAAAGAAGCAAGGACAUAAGCUAUAUGAGGAAAUCUUUCAGCUGAGAUUAUUGUGAAGACAUGUGGAGUUCAUAUGAAGAUUGCAAGAACAUUGUAAAUGAUGAAUGAGCAAAGUUUGGGGGGAGUACUAAGGAAAAUCCAGUGCAACAAUUCCAGAAGUUAGCUAAAAGCUCUCUAGCUUAACUCAAAAUUUGGAUUAACUCAGAAUUUAAGGGCAGGGAGAAGAAGCAAAACGAGCUAAUUGAGCAGCUUAAGGAUGCAAAACAAAGCAAAGGCCAUGAUAUGGAUGAGAUGCAUAUUGGGAAGCUGGAAAACUAGAUAAGCAACAUGUUAAUGGAUGAGGAGAUAUACUGGAAACAAAGAUCAAGGGCUGACAGGCUAAGAGAAGGUGACAAAAACACCACAUUCUUUCUUGUUAAAGCUUCGACUCGUAGAAGGAAAAAUAAAAUUUGGGAGAUUGAAGAUAAUCAAGAGAAAUGGCUAGAUAACCGAGAUAAUAUCAAAAGAGAGUUUUGUGAAUAUUUUCAGAGUUUAUUCAAAACUUCCAAUCCAAGCCAUGUUCAGGUUCAAGAUGUUUUAACAGGGAUACAACCAAAGGUGACCUCAUAGAUGAAUACCCAACUGGAAGAGCCGUUUACCGCUGAAGAGAUAAUGGAUUCUUUGUGUUGGUUAAUUUUCAAUCAAUUGCUAUUGAUGCCAAUGUGCAAGUGUACACAACAAGGCCAAUGUGCAAGUGUACACAACAAGUAAUAAAGUGAUGAGUAUUCAAGAUCGUCUCCAUAGGGAUUGAUGUUAUUAGAAAUGUUAUAGCAAUCAUAAUAGUGCAAUCUACCUUUAUGUCAAGAUGAACAAAUUGAAAGUUGAUUACUACCAAAAUUGAUAAUUGUAAGGAAAUAAAAUAAAUAAAUGCAGAAAUGAAAUGAAUUAAAUAAAUUGCGUAGAGGAAUCAAAUGAGAAUAGGGUAGUUGAAUAAUCAAACUCUCUUCAUGGGUUGACUGUUUUUCAUCAAAUUAGCACCGGUUGUUACAACAAUUUCUACAGCACUGGGUAGAAUUAUUAUGCACCCUCAGCUGUUGCGUGUUGGAAUUCUCAUACCUUUAAGUAACUUAGUAAUGACCAGUUGCUAUUUUACUUACGGCAUGACAUUAUGAACAUCUAUUCUCUCCACCCUACAAGGUGAGUACCUAUAUCUAGUUCUUUACAAAUCUUAACUUCAAGUAUAGCCCUUAUGGGAUUCAAGAUAAACUUAAUCCAGGAAACUCAAAUUAAGAUCAAGUAUUACUUUAAUAAUAUCCACUAAGACAUGCCCUUUUACGGCUCUAUUUUAACUUGAACCAUUAAAUAGGUGGUCAACCGAAAUAACAGUUAUAAUAAUAACUACUAGAGUAAAAUGCUAUAGCAAUUAUGUAGCAACUCAUAAGAACAGUAAAAAACCCAUUUAGAUUGUUUGUCACUCAACUAUAACAAGUUUAGUUCAUACUUUGACAGAGAAAAAUAAACAGCAAAAUAUUGGUCAUGAAAUACAUUGGUUCAAUCAAAGAGUGAGAGAAGAACAAGUGAGAACGACAAAGAUUGAAUCUAGAUAACUCUGCUGGAUUCUUCAAGGAUGCAGCAUUGGUUCCCUUCAAUUUUGAUCGUUUUUCUUCUUUUCCUCUUAAUCUUUUUCAAUGUUAAUUCCUUGCCGCCAUUUUAUGUGAUGCGCACCCCUUUUUAUAACUGAAAUCUAGGGUAAACAAAAACCUAGGGCGUGCAUGAGUCAAAUUAGAAAACUGCAGAUCGCAGUUCUGCAGAUAUCCCGCACUAAGUUUUCUCCAGCGUUGUUCUAGGAUUGCUACAGCAACGACUAUAACACUGCACUGUUCGAGGUUUUGUUUCACUUCUUUUGUUGCCAUAUUCUUUCUCCUUUUUGCUAGCCUACUACCUCAGCAUCCCUUCAUGGAUUAUAAACUUCUGAAAACCUACAAUUAUGCACAUGUUUUGAGCACAAAUUACUUUAAAUCAAGUAAAACUUAUUAAGACUAAACUAAAAUGGAUGUUUAUGCAAAAAUGUAACAAAAAUGUAAUAAAAACACAUCAUUUACUCUUUAAGUGGUCUUGAUUUAAGUCUUGAAUUACCAUAAUAACUCUCAUUUCAUAGAGUUAUCACACCCCUAAACUUAAACCGUUACUUGUCCUCAAGUAAUGACAACAUUCUAACACUUCAUGCACACAACAUGCAACAAAUAACUUCGCUCUGUCAUCAAAUCUGUAAGGGUUCUUCAACCUUCAGAUCACAAUCUUAAUCAUGCAAAAUAAUUGUAGUAGUUCAGUUCUAGACUUAAGUUUCCUUCUGUCCAAAGUGUGUGUGUGUUACUUUGAUUAAAUUCUAGAGACGCUACAACAUUACCAAGAGAUUGCAUGUAAUUCAGAGGUAGCAAAAGUUUAUUCACAUAUGGGGUAGCAGAAAUCACACAUACUCAAACUGCUCUAAUAAGAAUGAAAACUUAAGAGUACCCAUCCCUCUUCACAGCAACAUUCAUCUUUCAUGUGAAUGUCAAUCAUUUGUAAUGAUAACACCCAGUUACUCAAUCAAUGUACAUAUCAAAGUUGUUGUAGCAAUAUCCGUAACAUAAUCUUAUCUAAACAUAUCUUUUAACUCAAGGCUGAACAUGGGGCUCAUAAACAGGCCUGAUUACUCAAUAUCCUAGACAGAGGACUUCCUAUUAUUGUCUCACUUUCUUUUUUAGCAUGAAUUACUUUAAAUCAAGCAAAAUUUAUUAAGACUAAACUAAAAUGGAUGUUUAUGCAAAAAUGUAACAAAAAUGUAAUAAAAACACAUCAUUUACUCUUUAAGUGGUCUUGAUUUAAGUCUUGAAUUACCAUAAUAACUCUCAUUUCAUAGAGUUAUCACACCCCCAUACAGAACACACAUAAACACAACCCCCCCAAACUUAAAUGGUGCUGUGUCCUCACAAGCACACAAAAUAAAACCAUAUAACCAAACAAAGACAUGUAGAAUGAAUCAAAAAAUGAAAACAUAACGAAAGAAAAGUUGUUCAGAACUAAUUAAAAUGACUAGCAGGAAUGGGAUACUCACCUGUUGUUUGGACACUGCUGCAAUAUGAUGUAGGGACUUUAGCGCUUUUUGGAUGCACUUCGCAGCUUAUCCUUAGGGGAUUCUUGCGGGGAGGUAGCUGACAACGUCUGUUGCUUAUUCUGCAAUGGGCUGGUGGGAGGAGUUGCAGUUGGGGCAGCUUGCUUGGUUGACACAAAUCUAGUCCUUUUUGGUUCUGGUGAGGCUACUGCAGCAACGCUGCAAGAGGUUUCUCCCUUUCUUUUGCUGGGUCCUCGAGGAAUGGAACGAAUAAGUUUGCUGUGGAGGGGCUGGAGUGGGGGCAUCAGCUGCAUGUCCCUCAGCUGUGAUGGCGACAAUGAUAUCAAGCAACUACUUAGUCUCUGUGGGUGUACGAGUGACUAUGGCUGCUGCAGCUUCCAGCUCUACAUCAACUUGAUCGGCUUCAUCGUUAGAGGCAGGGGGUAAUUACUUUUUCCUUGCCCUUUCUAGAAAGGAUUGGAAUAAGAGGCUCCUCUUCUUGUAUGAUGUGCUUUUUUCUGCUUCUGUUGGUGAACUGUCAGUUGCAGACUUGUCACCCUCUUCCUCAGGUUGGUCAGAUUGGUCAACAAUAUCUGACUCGGCCUCUGCUUGUGGUUCUGCUGCAGCCUCCUCUUCUGGUUCGUCUGUGUCAGUAGCUUAUGCGCUGACUUUUGCUGGAGCCUCUGUAGUGUUGGUGUCAAAAUUGUACUACUGGAGCAAUGCAUCAGGAAAAUUCUAAUGGGUACUUUUCAUAUAUACAUCAAAUUGGUACAGGUGGCUUUCCAGGUGCUGUAAAUAGCUCCAAAAUUGAUCGUUUUCCCUUUGCUGAGCUUCAACACAUUGAGUGAUGCUGGUGCUCAGUGCUUGUAUUCUCUGUUCUAACCUAAUAGCUCGUCUCACUCCUGUUAUAAUAGCUGGUUCAGAUGUGGAUCCAGCAACUUCACCAGCAAUUCUCUCGAUGGUACGUGCAGUAAGGGCACCAUCAUUCUUGACAUGUUCAUCUCUUGCAUCAAGACGAACUCCUGAUACUAAACAGAUGCUGGUGAUGAGUGAGGGAAAUAGCAAGGCAGCUGCUUUGUAGUUCUUCAUGGCAUAGUCCCAGAUUUCAUUUUUGAUAAUGUUUCCCACAUCUAUGGGAAGCCCUCGAACAAUAACAUAUGACAACACCAACAUUUCUUGUGAAACAAUAAUGGUGUGGGUGGUUGGGAUAAGUAGGGAUUUCAGAAAUUUCACCCACACCUUUACAAUGGGUUUUAAGUCUAUUCUGUUAAUUACCCGCCCUUCCUCAUUAACCCAUGAUGCACCAUCUACUGUGAGUGUCUUGAAAAUUUUGUUCUAUCUUUGCGGGUUUAAUUUGUCAAGUAACUUGGCAUACUCGCAAUUUAUUUCAGUAGGUAAAUUAUAAAAGGCAUUUAUAACUCGAGAACCUAAUGGAACAAUCGAGUUUCUUACCUAAAUGUUGUGCUGACCAUGGCUUACCAAAUUGGCAUAAAAUUCUUUCGCUACUUGCAGCACAGGGUCUUGAGGGUGGUCACAAAACUCUAGCCACCCACGCUUUGCUACAACAUUGUAUAGGGAUUGCACAAUUUUUGUGGGUUGGGGUGGGAAUUGAAACCUUUUUUCUUUCAGAAUCUUGCACGGUUCAAUGAAUUCUUCGUAUUUUUCUUCCGCAUGGUAACUUUGGAAUCGUGAAGAAUCUUUUAGUCGGCUAGCUAUCCUUUUGUAGCUUGGCAUUGCUAGAGCAGUAAGAAUUCGAUGGUAAUUUGCCUGUGAGUAAAAUGAAAAGAAUUGCUAGAGCAGUAAGAAUUUGAUAGUAAUUUACCUGUGAGUAAAAUGAGAAGAAGUAGUUAAGAAGUAUUGGUGUCGUGACUAUAGAACCCGAUUGCUUGCUCUAGCAGCGGUUACAUACUUUUCUCCAAUAGCAGCUGACACUUGGCUUGCUACUGUACUCUGUUAACAAUGCAGCCCCAAUUGUUAGUAUGGAAUCCAAUUGUCACAUACAUUUCUCUUGAGAAAUUUAAAAAUAAAUAAAACCAAUCCUAAGUUAAAGAUAAAACAAUCCUAAAGGACAACAAAUAAAAGUUAAACAAUCCUAAAUAAGGGAAGUAAAAAUAAAGUAGAAUAAAAUAAAAUAAAAGGAAAAACAUUUAACAAAACCAAGGAGGAUCCUUUUUAUUUGAAGUGACUGCCUCCAAAAUGGGUUGCCUCCCAUUGAGCGCUUGAUUUUAGGUCCUUCAGCUUGACCUCACUUGAGUGCACAUGCACUUGGUUCUUUAAGGAGUAAGACCUCCUUUGAACAAUCUGUAGCUGAAUGUAUGUAAUGCCUAACGCUAUGCCCAUUGACUUUGAAUUCUUGGCCUGUCUUUUCAUCUAAGAGAUCAACAGCCCCAUGGGGGUAAAUUCUGAGAAGCUUGAAUGGUCCAGACCAUCGAGAUUUCAGUUUUCCUGAAAACAAUCUUAGCCUCGUAUUAUGGAGCAGUACUAGUUGACCAGGGAUUAAUUUUCUGUAUUGGAUAUGUUUGUCAUGCCAGUGCUUUGUUCUCUCUUUAUAAAUUCUUGCAUUUUCAUAUGAGAACAUACGUAAUUCAUCAAGCUAUGUUGGAUAUGUUUGUCAUGUGAUGAGCAUAUAAUAUAUACAUAUUUUACCCUUAAUUAAAUAAUUGUUAGUUAUAUUUAUUUGUUAUUUUUAAUUAAUUAAAUUAUUUUAUUGAAUAGGGAUUUAAUUGGAGAUUAUGGAUAAAAAGAGCAUAAAGGAGUUCAAUUUGUGAGCAGUAAAGAUUAAUUAACUUGGAAGCAAUUAUGCUUAUAUGCAUGUUAAUUCAAGCCAAGGAAACCGAACUCAAUAAAUGCAUUCGUCAUCCACAUGCAGACAAAGAAGAUAAAGUGAUGGAAAGCAAUUUGAAGGACCCGCACUUGGCUUUCAUGAGUGGAAAAGGAGUGCAUGUGAGUGAAGCCAAAACAAAUUAAAAGCUUUGCCAGCACAUGAGAAUUAAAUAAAGAUUGAUUUGGGCUUUGCAUAAGUGGGCCGAGUGUUAACUUGUGUGAGACAGUUUAUUUGCAAUCAAAACUUGACAAGGAUUUGAGCCAACUAUAAAAGCCGAACUUUGGCUUUCGAAAAGAGGAGCCGCCAGAGGAGGAGAAAAGAAACGCAGACGCGAUUCGGCAGGGAAGAGCAGCAACAGUUCAGCUUCUCCAUGGCUGUUUUUAUUAAUUUUGUUGCUCUCAAUUCAAGUAUGUCUAGUUAAUUUUCUUAUACUGAGGUUAAGGAUGAAAUCCUAUUUAAUGAAAUAAUUAUCUUUGUAUUUAAUUAAUUCCCUACAUGUGUGCUUUAAUGAUUAUGGUUUUUAUUUCACAUGAUUAAUUGGAUGUUAUUAGAAUCUUUUCAUCAAUUUUGUCAUGCAUUAUUGAUUGUUAGGAUUAAUAUUCAAUUAAAUCUAUGCUUAGAUCUAUAAAGUUUGUAUAUGAUUAUCUUUGAUUCUAUGUCUUUCAUUAAAUUGUUUACAUAGAGUGCUUAGGAAAACUUUGACUCUUUAUUAUUCAAGAUGUUUACAUGUGAUUCUUAGAUAUCAUACUAUUAAGCAGAAAAAGAACUUACACAAGAUUAAUUUUAUUUGGGCUUAAUUGUUAUAUCCAUGAGAUGACAUAGAUUGAUUUCGAAUUGUCACUCUAAAAUUAGGGAUUAAUUAAUAAUUAGAUAAUUACUAAUUGACUAGUGGUGGAUUCCGAAACCUUGGUAAUUUUUGUCUUAUUGAUUUCUCAUUUGCUUUAAUUAUUUUCUUAGUUUAAUUAGUUUAAUUUCUUUUAAAACUCAAUUUGCUCAACUAGGUUAGGAUUAAUAUUAAUUUUAGAUUUAAAUUAGACUUUUCAAUUUAUAACAAUCCAUGUGGGAUCGACCUCGUUACCACUAUUCUAUUUCUAGAUUCGUGCGCUUGCAAGUAUAUUAAAAUUUUCACAAGUUUUUGGCGUCGUUGCCGGGAAUUGUGCAUGAAAGUCAAUUUAAUCUAGGUUGAUUUGAUUCUUCCACUAGUUAUAAUUUAGGUUGUCUUUUAUUUUAUUUUUUAAAUUAAAAAAAUUAUUUGUCUUUAAAUUCAUUAUUUGGUUGUUUGAUUUCUUUUAUUUUUAAAUUCCGUUUAUUUUCAUUAUUGUUGGUUUAUUUUAUUUUAUUGUAUUUUAUUUUUUUUCUUUCCUUGUCUAGUUAGUUUAUGAGUGUUUGAGAACGUGAUUUAACAAAUCAUUUGGUAAAAAAAGAGUCAAAAUUUGAUAGUAGUCGAAAUAGUUCUUCAGAAGUCGAAAUAGUAGUCGAAAUAUUUUAAAUUCCACUGCUGCUCUAGCAUCAUUAGUAGGUAAUGCUGCAGCUUCUACCCAUUUGGAGACAUAAUCCACAACAACCAGGAUAUAUAGCUUCCUAAAGGAUGGUGGAAAAGGACCCAUGAAAUCUAUUCCCCAUACAUCAAAAACCUCCACCUCCAGAAUAUUUGUCAAUGGCAUUUCAUGUAUUUGAGUUAUGUUUCCUGUUCUUUGACACAUGUCACAACAUUUAGCAAACUCAUAAACAUCUUUAAAAAUAGAAUGCCAGUAAUAACCUGAUUGUAGAACCUUGGCAGCUGUUCUGUGUCCACCAAAAUGUCCUCCAUAUGCUGCAGCAUGGCAAGAAUCCAGUAUAUGAGGAAUUUCUUCCUCUGAAGCACAUCUUCGUAUGACUUAAUCUGAACAUAACUUAUACAAAUAUGGGUCAUCCCACUGGUAGCUUCUAACAUCGUGAAGAAAUUUUUUUUUUCUGCUGGAACUUUAACUCAGGUGGUAGUAAUCCACUUACUAAGUAGUUAGCAAAAUAUGCUUACCAUGGAGGUCCUGAUUGCUACAGCAUCUGUGCUUACUGUACUACUAACAGUUGUUUAUCAGGAAAAGUUUCAGUGAUGUAUUUUUUUGUCAAUGCGCUUGUGUCUGCUUCUAGUAAUGAGAAUAUAACCACUGGUGUAGUGAUCAAAGCUUUCUUUAAUUCUCCAAAGACUUGAAGACAAUCUUUAUCAAAAUGAAAAGGCUUGUCACGUUCUAGCAAUGAGAAUAAUGGUUUAGCUACCUUGGAGAAGUCUUUUAUGAAUCUUUUGUAAAACCUAGCAUGCCCCAAAAAACUUCUAAUUCUCUUGAUUGAAGUGGGAGGUGGCAGUUUGUCUAUCACUUCUAUCUUUGCUUUAUCUACCUCAAUACCAUUCUUGGACACCUUAUGACCCAACACUAUGCCUUCUUGCACCAUGAAAUGACAUUUUUUCCAAUUGAGUACUAAGUUGGUCAUUUCACAUCUUUUAAGAACUUAUUCCAAGUUGUGUAAACAGUCAGUAUAUGUCUCUCCAAAAACUGAGAAAUCAUCCAUGAAAACUUCUAAUGUUUUCUCCACCAUAUCAGAAAAAAUAGACAUCAUACAUCUUUGAAAAGUUGCUAGAGCAUUGCACAAACCAAAAGGCAUCAUUCUGAAGGCAAAAAUUCCAUAAGGACAGGUAAAUGUAGUUUUUUCCUGAUCCUCUGGAGCUAUAGCAAUUUUGUUGUAGCCCGAAUACCCAUCUAAGAAACAAUAGUAUUGUUUUCCAGCAAGUAUGUCUAACAUUUGAUCUAUGAAUGGAAGUGGGAAGUGAUCCUUUCGAGUAGCUUUGUUGAGCUUCCUGUAAUCCAUACAUACCCUCCAUCCAGUCACUAUUCUUAUGGGAAUAAGUUCAUUAUUCUCAUUUGCUAUCACUGUUAUUCAUCGCUUCUUUGGAACACAUUGAACUGGGCUUACCCAUAAACUGUCUGAUAUCGGGUAUAUGAUUCCAGCAUCUAACCAUUUGAUAAUUUCUUUCUUCACAAAUUCCUUCAUAAUGGGGUUCAACAUUCUCUGUUGUUCCACCGAAUUACUGUAACAGUCUUCUAACAGAAUUUUGUGCAUGCAUAUGGAAGGGCUGAUCCCUAUUCCCUUUAAUGUCUGUCAUAGUCCAUCUAAUUAUUUUUUUGUAUUUCCCAAGCACAUCUAUCAGACUCUAUUCUUGACCAACAUCCAAGGUAGAUGAAAUGAUUACAGGGAGUGUGUUGUUUUGACCAAGAUAAACAUAUUUCAAAUGUGAGGGUAAUAAUUUUAAUUCAAGAAUAAGAAGUGAUUCAAUAGAUGGUAAAUGUGUUUUUACUUCCAUGUCUAAAAGAUUUAAAUGUUCAAAAAAUCUGCUAUGUCUGUUAGAUUGCUUUCCAUCCAUCCAAUCUAGUUGAUUUGCUGCAACAUCUUCUUCAAAGUUCUCAAAAUUGGCAACUUUGAUGAUCUCAUUACUACAACAUUUGUCGAUUCUGUUUGCUACAACAAAAUCUACAACACUCAGGAAAUUGCAAUCUUCUGCCUCAUCAGGGUUCUUCAUACCCUCUAAUACAUUGAAUGUGACUUGUUGAUCAUUCACCCUCAUUGUUAACUCUCCUUUCUGCACAUCCAUCAGAGUCUUCCCGAUUGCUAGAAAAGGUCUUCCAAGUAUAAUGGGUACUUCCUUAUCACCCUCAAAGUCUAAAACAAUGAAGUCCACUGGAAAGAUGAAUUUGUCAACCUUCACCAGUACAUUCUCAAUUUUUCCUUCAGGAUAUGCAUGAGAUCUGUCAGCUAAUUGCAGAGUGACUGUUGUUUGCCUGCAUUCUCCUACUCCCAACUGCUUAAAUAUAGAUAAUGGCAUCAGAUUAAUACUAGCUCCCAAAUCACAGAGUGCUCUGCCAUUUACCUAGUUCCAAUGGAACAUGGUAUUGUGAAGCUUCUUGGAUCCUUCAAUUUUUUUAAGGUAUCUUACUUUGGAGCAUGUGACUGCUUUCCUGUGUUAGAGCAACAGUUUCAAAUUCUCCUAACAUUCUCUUUCUUGCCAAGAUGUCUUUUAAAAAUUUCACAUAAUUAGGCAUUUGCUCCAAUGCUUCCACAAAAGGGAUGUUGAUGUGUAAUUGCUUUAGCACUUCCAAGAAUUUACUAAACUGCUUGUCUUAUUUUUGCUUCUGGAAUCUUUGUGGAAAAUGAGGUGGAUGUCUAAAUUACUGAGUAGAUUCAGGAGGUAUCAAUCUCUGCUCAUUUGGUUUAUUGUAAGUUGUUACCACUGGGGUUGCAAUUUCUUUAUCAUCAUUGAUUGGUUGAUUCCCUUCCAUAGUUGCCGCAGCUUGACCACUGACACCAAUAUCUUGAUGGUUGGGUUGCUGUAACAUGCUCUCCUUUUGAGGUGGUUCUUGUGAGGAAUUAAGUUUCACCCCUUUUUUAGUCACAUUAAUAGGGAUAUCAACAUUCUUUCCAGAUCUUAAGUUGAUGGCUUUGCAGUGUUCAUUUUCCUCUCUUCUUGGAUCUUCGGCAUCUUCCCAAACCAGUAAUUGCAAUGGUACACCUUCCUUAAUUCUGCAUGUAGAUGAUCUCAUGGAUUCUCUGUUGGAAGGUUGUGUGUGAAUAAAACAUGCAUGUUGUUUAAUCAAAUUAAAUCUUUCUUCGUUUGUUCCAAUUAAAUAUCUUUAUCUCUUUCCCUUUAAGAUUCCUUCAAGUUGAUUUUCUCCUAAAUGUUCUGAUUUAAUUCCUCUUUAAUCUCAUAUUGUACCUAAAAUAAAAAAAAUAUAAAAAUUAAGGUAAAAAUUAACAAAAUAAAAUAUAAUUUAAUAUAAAAUUAAGCUAAGAAAAUAUAUAAAUAAUAUAUAAAUUACUAGCACAUCAAUGAUCAACUGAUGUAGGCACAGACUGUAGAGGCUAUCAGACAGAUAGCCUGAGAAGUAGCCAUGCAAGUUAUUAAUAACUUGAGAACAGAGGUGAUAGAGCAAGCAAUCAAGGUUCUUAGGCAUUCUACUGGCAACAUAAACAUGGAGGGAGGUCAAAGGCAAAGAGUUAAUUGCGAAGAAAUAGUUCAAGGAGUCAAUCAUGAAGAACAACCUCAACAUUAUAAUUGUGAAGAGAUACAUCAUGAAAAUAAUCGAAAAGCAGUGCCUCAGGAUGAAAAUUGCAAAAGAGUACCCCAUUAUCCAAGGUGUGCAAGACGAAUGCUUGUACACAUGCGUGAGGUCUUAGCAAGUGAUGAGACUUUUAACAGAAAAACAUCUAGCACCUUACAGGAUAGGGUGGAUAAAAAUAGUGGCAAAAAUGUGAGUUAAAUAUUCUUUUCUAUAUUGGGAAGAUUUAUUAGAGUGAUAUAGUGUGUGAUGUGGUGGACAUGGAUGCUUGUCAUCUUUUAUUGUGAAGACCAUCGUAGUUUGAUGUUGAUGCAGUCCAUGUAGGAAAGGAUAAUGUAUAUGAGUUUGGGUGUAACAACAAGAAAGUUUAUUUAGUAUCUUUAACAAACAAAAAGAGGAAUUCCAAAGCUGAAGGGAAGAAUUUCCUAACUAUUGUCAAGGAUUAGGGUUGGCAAAAGUCUGGGUUCAGUCCCGGUUUGGGCCUACUCGGGAUUGACCCGCAAGAAUAACAUAGCUAUCCAGACUCGGACUCAUGCUCGAAUUUUUCACAUGCCGGCCAAGUUAAGCUCGAUACCUCCCAAGCACAGGUUUUUUAUUUAGGCUUUCCCUACUCGCAUAUGAACUAAAUUAAAAGGGGAAGAAAGGCUUGUAAUAGAUUGUUGCAACAUCUCAACUAAUUAUUUCAAUCUACUUUGCAAAUUUUACAUAAAUAACAAAUAAAGAUUGUUUCAAUCUACCAUCUACUACCUAAAUUCAUUCAAUCUCUAACCUAAAUUCAUUUAAUCCUUAUCAAAAAUUUAAAUUCAACAUGACAAUAAUCACCAAAUAAAUCUAAAUAAAUGUAGCAUACUAACAUCCAACAUAUUACAUAAUACAUAUCAUAACUACAAUACGAAUAACCAAUAUAACAUGUGAAAAUCCUAAAAUAUCUAACAACAAAAAUAAUUUAUAAAAGAGUCUAAAAUAAUCUAAUGUAAAAUAUAUAAAUAAUAACUUCAUGUCAAGUAGCUUGACGAUUGUGCCGCAUCAUCAUCAUCUGAAAUUAUCUCCUUCCCAGCAAAAAUCUCAUCUUCUGAGACUCCACCUAAUAAUAAAAAUAACACACUAAGAUUCAAAAGCAUUUUAAGCAAAUAAAUAAUACUAUAAUAUAAUUCAAAUAAAUUUAUACCUCGAGAAGUAGAAGCCCAAAUCCAAUUUUGAGCACACAUUAAGGAUUCCAAAGUGUCAGGAAAAAAUUUAUUGUGAUGCGGACUAAAAAAUCUACCCCGGUGAUUCAGAGGCAACAAUGGAUAUAGAAAUGGCCAAAAUAUCCUUGGCCAACUCACCCAAAAUAGGAUAUUGGCAUGUGUGCAUCUUCAAAAAAGCUAAAGUAUCAAAGUUUGGAGUAGCAUCCAACAAUUCUUCAUCUAAAUAGCUAUCCAACUCUGACUUAGUCACAUUAACAUGCUUAUUUUGGCUUCGAAAUAUUUCAAACUCAUCUAUAUCCCAAUACUUAUUUGGAUUUGAAGAAGAUUUUGAAUGAACAUUUUCCAAUCCAACAUCGUGCCAACCACUCAAAACCAUGGCUUCAAUUCAUAGUCUUUCACUAAAUCAUGACAAAGCUUACGUGCAUGCUUAAUAUGCUCAUUUGUUGUAUCAAUACGAAUCUUUGCGAAAUAAAAAAUAAUCAACAGCAUCUUAUAUCUUGGGUCAAGUACUACAUCUACAAAUAACAUGAGAUUAAUUUCAUUCCAAUAUUUUUCAAAUUUGUCAGCCAUUUUAUUAACCAUAAUUCUGAUAGCUAGGUUAUCAGAGGUGCGCCACCCAUUAAUUGACAUUUUCAUUUUACAUAUCAACUGAAAGAACAAAUCAGUAGUGGGGUAUUUUGAACCCCAAAAACAUCUUCAUUAACAUGUAAAAUGAUUUCAAAUGCUCCACCAUUGUGGCUGUCAAAUCCCACUCGCUAUCACUUGACAAGCUCUUAUAUUAAGGCUCAUGAUGUUGCAACCGAGAAAAAAUACUUCUAUACAUCAAUGCUACAUCAAGCAUAGCAUAAGUAGAGUUCCAACGAGUUGGACAAUCUAAGUUCAAAUUUUUUUUCAAAUAAUUUGCAAUUGCCUAACAUAGCUCAAAUGUUUCAAAUCUUUUUGGUGUUUGUGUCUAGUAACUCACACUCUCCCUAAUCUUUCAAACCCUAUUUUCUAUAAAUUUUAAUCAAUCCCACACAACCAAAUUCAAUACAUGAGAAGUAAAUCCCAUAUGAAAAAAAUUUACCAUUAGAAAUUAAGGUACUAGUAUCAAACCUUAACAACAAUUUCUCCACCAUCACAUCAUUAGUGUUACAAUUAUCCAAUGUCACUGAAGAUAGCUUUCUAUCCACGUUCCAAUCCAGUAGACAUAGAACUAACUCAUUAGAAAGGACAUAAGUAGUAUGGGGGCUCGGAACAUAGAUAAACCUAUCAAGUAUUUAACUGUUAGUAUUAAAUACACUAACUUAAAGUAUUAUAAAAAUUUAAACUUGAAAAGAGAUCAAAUAUAAGUAAUAAAAAGGUUAAAAGAGAAAUUAAGCAGAUAAAAAUUUAUAGACAAAUUACCUUAAGAUUUGACUAUGCAAUUUCCAGGAGUUCUCAAUUAAAUGUGUUCUGACAACCAUGUAUCCUUUUUUCUGAUUACUAGUUGUCCAUAAAUCCGUAGUAACAACCACUCUACUAUGAUUUUUCUCUAGCAAAUUCAAAGUCUUAACCUUCUCAAUAUGAUACAAUUUCAAAAUUUCAUUCUUCAAAGUAUUUAUGCUCAUUGGCUUAACCACAGGGUUGGCAUGUGCCAUCAUUUCUCUAAAGCCUUUAUAUUCCACGAAUCUAAAUGGAAGCUCAUGCAUUAUCACCAUUCUUGCAAUCAAACUCUAAAAAAUAUUUUGAUCAAAGUUGCUGUUGGCAAUGUCACAAGUUCGAUAUACUCUUUUGAUCUCUUUGAGACUUCCCUAAAGUUCUUGCUCUAUUUUCGGUUGAUGCUUCAAAAAAUAAGAUUCCACGUGUUUAUUUAAACUUUUAGUCCCUGAUUUGUAUUUGGCUCCUAAAAUUGCAUUACAUUGUAUGCACAUUGCCUUAUGUUCUCUAUUAACAAUUACUUUUGUAAAGUGCUCCCAAGCUUUAGAGACUUUCCUCUUAUUUCAAGUGCUUUUCACCACUUUCUUUCCUUUCUUAUCAUUCACGUUUGACAUCAAAAUUUCCUCAACCUUGUUAUCAGAGAUAUCUUCAACAUUAUGGGAUAAAUUUGGAGCAUUUGAUGAAUUGAUUUCUACGUUGUCUGACAUUGUACUGCUGUUUAUUAUAGAAAAUAAUAAAUAAUAAAAAAUUAUCAUACAAAUUAUAUAAUUAUAAAUAUUAUGUAACAAAUUAACUUAAAAGGAACCUAAAUGCUAAAUUCAGCUCCUAUUAAUAAAAAAUUAUCAUACAAAUUACAUAAUUAUAUAUAUUAUGUAACAAAUUAACUUAGAGCAACCUAAAUGCUAAAUUCAGCUCUUAUUAAUAAACAAUAAUCAUACAAAUUACAUAAUUAUAAAUAUUAUGUAACAAAUUAACUUAAAGCAACCUAAAUCUAAAUUCAGCUUCUAUUAAUAAAAAAUAAUAAUACAAAUUACAUAAUUAUAAAUAUUAUAUAACAAAUUAGCUUAAAAGCAACAUAAAUGUUAAAUUCAUCUCUUGUUAAUUAAAAAUAAUCAUAAAAGCAUAGCAUCCAAGCAAAACCUUAAGCAUAUAUUGUAUAUAAAGGUGGCCAACGGGCUGUUCCAGCAUCAAACUAAGGCCCGUGAGGGCCCACGGGCUGGCAUGACAUGACCCACCAACUUUGGUGGGCUGUGCGGUGCAGUGCCUAAUUUUUUUGUUUAAGCCCGGCACAAGCCCACGCGUGCCGUGGGUCGUGCCCAAAAAAGCCCAUCAAUUUUUUUUUUUACUUAAAGCCCACAUGCUCUUUUAAGCCCACGUGCUUUUUUUAAGUUCACGUGCCUAGCGUGCUUUUUCAAGCCCAUCAGCCCAUCUAAUAAUAAUAAUAAUAAUAAUAAUUUUUAUUAACUAAUAAGAGGCAAAUAACAUUCUAUUAUCAGUUUAUCACAAUUUUGCAACCUUAUAUUUAAAUAUUUAAUUUCACGAUUAUCAAUUCAAUUAGAGCACAACAAAAUUAUUUGAACUGCAGUGAAACAAAUUCCACCUAAUUUUAUUUGAACUAUUAAUAUUAUAAUUGGACUUGAACUUCAUUGAAUGAAAAUGUAACUUUUAAUUUACCAUAAAAAAUAAAAAAAUAUUUCCUUCAUAAUUUUAUUCUUUGUGUAUAAAUAUGAAAAAUAUCUUAUUCACAAAUCACAAGUAAAAAAUAUCUCCGUUUACUAAGUUAUGAUUUCAUAAAUGAAAUAUUAAUUGUCAUAAAAUUUUGAUAUAUCAUUUAUAAAAUCGUGAUAUUUAAAAUUUUAUUUAUUAAAAUUAUAAUAUUUAUUUAUUCAUUUAAUAAAUGAUAAACAUAAAACAAUUAUAAUUUUUUUAAAACUGAGACUUAAAUUAAUUUAAUAAAAUAUAUUAAAAAUUGUAAUUUUAAAAUAUUUGUAAUUUCAUAACAUUUUAUUUUGUAAAAUCAUGAUAAUUAAAAAAUAUUAUUUUGAUAUACUUUGACUCACAUGCUAUUGAUGGCCCACGGGCCGCGUGCUAGCCAACCAAUAAAGCGUGCUUUUUAUGUGCCUUUUCACGGGCCGUGCUUUUAAAGCCCACGUGCUUAAAACUCUAAGCCUAGCCUGGCCCACGUGCGUGUCGUGUUGUGCUAUGUGCCGCCCGGCCUGUUGGCCAACUUUAAUUGUAUAACACCUAAUAAUAAUAAUAAUAUUAAAUUCAUAAUUUUUUUUUCAAAAAAGCUAAAAAAAAUCAAUACCUCGUGGUUACGAUGGCGGAGCUACCAUUGAGAAGGUGACGAAAUGAUAGAGUGAGACUAAUCAAGAUGGCUGACACUAAUGAGCGGUGGUUGCCGUUGAUAAGUUGACAAACAAUGGAGAUAGUGGUUGUGAUGACUGUGCUUUAUGAGAAGUGAGAAUAACUGACCGAGGAAGGUUCCUGGAGGCAAAGUGCAGCGGCCAGUGGUGGCUGUUGCUUUAUGGCUUUGAGUGUUAGAGUGACGGAGGUCAGGAUGUGCCGAGGUGGACAACGAAGUAUUUCAGUGUGUAAGUGUGUUUAGUUACGAUUUAGGGUUGAUUGUUUGGUUUAGGAUUUAGGCAAAAUGUUUCUUUGAUUUUUAUAUUUUCUAUUUUUUUAACUUAAUAAAAAAUUCUUGUACGAUCUAAGUUCUGGGUUUUUGGUCUGUGACCAGACCCAUGCCCGAAAACAUCUAGGUAUUGAUUUUCAAUACCUAAAUCCACUUUUUUAAUACAUUCGCCAGGUCUGGGCUAGAUUUGGUCUGAGUGGGCAUUUUUACUAACUAUAUCAAGGAUAAUCUGGAGGAAGGUUGUGAUGUUUGAAGAAGCUGGAAAAAGAGGAGGAAUUCGAGGUGAAGACUAUUCUUGACAAAGUGCAGUUAUUAUUAACUGAGUUUGCUGAUGUUACACCUUCCAACCAAAUAGCUUAUCACCUACGCAAGAUAUACAUCAUCGUAUAGACUUGAUUCUUGGUGUGAUUUACCAAUCUGCCUCAUUAUCAUAUAAGUAUGCAAUUUUGCAAGAAUAAGUUGAUGAGUUAUUGUGAAAAUGGUUUAUGCGUGAGAGUAUGAGCCCAUGUGCUAUACCAACUUUGUUGGCGCCAAGAAGUAUGAGAGCUAGUUUAUGUGUAUGGACAUCAAGCAGAUUAAUCAGAUUAUUAUGAAGUAUCAAUUUCAUAUUAUUUCAUUUUGGGAUUUAUUAGAUUAAAUAGAUGUUCUUAGAUUUUCUUGAAGAUAGGUCUGCAUAGUGGAUAUCAUCAAAUUAAAUUAGGCCUAAAAAUGAGUGAAAGAUGUUGAGUGUUAGAAAAUACAUAUUUAUAAAGGAGAAAACCAUCAUUUUACAUUUCAAGUCUUACUAACAACUCUUACUUUUAUGUAUUUAACCUUCUUGUGAUGUAAUUACGCGUGUGUUAUUUUAAUUAAGUAUUUUAUGUAUUUUAGGGGCAUUAUAGUCAUUUCACAAUAAAGGAGAGAUCACUGCUGUACCGUACAUCCGCCUUGGCCGUACAGCAGAGGGUUUUCAAUUUGUUAGAAAAACUUUUUGACCUAAAAGUUUAAAUUGAUAAGUAAUAGUCCAAUAGUAGUAUUAAAACAAAUUUUCAUAAGUCUUCCUAUUUGAAACAUGAAUUAAGAAUUGAGCCAGAAGAUCAUAGAUGGGUAAAAAAUGUUUGAACUAAAAAAUAAAGAAAUAAACAAAUUCGAAAGAGUUUGUGCAUAAUACGAAUCAAACUUGGGGCAUUGGUUUUGAUACCAUGUUAAAAAACUGCUUGACUUAAAAAAAAAAUUAAUAUGUAAGAGCUCUACAUCGGUAUGAGAGAUGAGAGUGUAGCAAGACAUAUACCUUGGCAUUCUUUGGUUGCAAUUACGGCCAAAAUGGUUAUACGCAAUAGUCAUCUUCAUGUUCUUAUCUCUUAUGUAUCCAUCAUCAUGUCCAAGAAGCUUGAUCUUGUCUUGGUUUCUAAACCAGUUGUUUGAGAUGGUGACAUCUGUCGAGCCACGUGUUACGUCGAUCAGCCCAUUCUGGCAUUUAUACAGUGUGUUGUGAUCUAUCCAAACCCUGCUGUACCGUACAAUCCGCCUUGGCCGUACAGCAGUUGUUGUUAUUAUCAUGUCGGGAAAAAUUUUAGUCCCAUCAAUCAUUCUAAAAGUUUUGUAGUUCAAUAAAAGUAUUUUUAAAUCUCAAAUAAAAUCUAAGCCGUCAAAACCUUUUUCUCCCUCUCUUUAUUUUGCAGGAAAGAAAAAAGACCAUCAAUUCUAUUUUCAUACUAAUAAUAAAACGACAAAUAGGUUUCUAAUUGUCUAAAUCUCUUUAGUGUCGGUUUGAGUUGGCUUAAUUAAGUUUUUUAUUUUUAUUUUUAGAAUUAAAAAAGGUCUUUUAGGAUUGUUUGGGUGUCAAAUCAAAAAUUAUUUUUUUUAAUUUAAAAGGUAUUUUGGGAGAAGGCAUGAUUUCUAAGUUUUUCCAAAAGACCUUUUGAGAAGCUAUUUUCUCAUUUAUUACAUUUUUCAUAAUUUAUAAACUAACCUUAAAUUAACAAAGGAACAAAAAAAUAUUACAUCCAUAUCCAAACUCUUAAACUCUAUUUCUUACGUAUAUUUUCUUGUUUUGCCUCUUCAUUGUUCAACUAAAAAAAAAAACAACAACAAUAGAAGGAGCACAAUCACCACACCAAUCUUCUUUCAAGUGAGAUUUUUUUUUUUUGUAAUCUCAUACUUUGAUUGGCAUCUUAUUUUUAAUUUUUCUAGAUGAUGAAGAAUCAUCAAUUAACAUUAAUGUUGAUGAAAAUGAAUCAAGUAAAAUGGGAGUGGUUCGUGAAAAUAUUGCUAGGGAACUUAUGCUUAGAGAAACUUAAUUUAGUUAUUUUUGUUCUUCAUUUUUUAUAAAGAAAAACGGCACUUUAAUUUGUAAAAGUUUAACUAGAUUGAUCAAAUAAUUAUUUUAUUUGUCAUUGAUUUUUAAAUUUGAUAAGUAUUUGUUAGACUCAAAUAUUUAAGGGUAUUAAUGACUUUAUAAUGAUUAAAAGGUCUUUUUUAAAUGGUCAUCCAAACACUUUAAAAAGAGCUUCUAAUUAAAACAAAAAAAAAAGAUCUUUUACUAUGGUCAUCCAAACAACAAAAAUAAACUAGAGCUUUUACUUAUCUUUUACUUUUAAGUAGAAGCAAAAGCAAAAGCUAACCCAAACAGACCCUUAAUGUGAAAUUUUAUAUUUUUUAUUUUAUGAGAAUAUAAUUUUAUCUCACUUUAUUAAUUUUUGUGGGACUCCUGUCUCUUUUUUAAGUUAUUUUUAUUCCUACUUUGUUAAUAAUAUUUGUGAGAGAUAUUUUUCUAGUUUUAAGUGUUUUGUGGAUCGAUCGAAAUUGAAGUCUCCCUAUUUUCUAUCAAAAUUAAUGUUUUUGUUACUCAAACUUCACUUGGACAAUUAUCUUCCUUUUAGUUGGAGCUGUGUUUAAUUUAUGGAAUGCACCUUUUUGUUGUAAAUCAAUGACGACUUUGCUCACCUAUUAGCCAUUUUUUCCAUCUAUUUUUAUGUGAUAUCCUGUACAAGUUAAGAAAUCUUUGUUAUCAAACAAUAGCCAAAACAUAGGUUGAGUAAUUAAACAAGAUAAAGAGGGUUUUAACUUUUGUGACAUGUGAUCUAUUCUACAAGUUGCUAUUUGGACCAAGACAUGUGCCUAAAUUAGCUAUUGGCUUAUACGGGCCUUUCCGUUACCUAUUUCACAAGUUCCAAAUCAUGACUCAUAAUGGUGUAUUUACUUCGUAGAUUAAGGAAUCGGAAUCUGAAAUGAAAAUAAUUGAUUAUUCUUACCUACUAAAAUAAAAGUGAGAUUGAAAAUGAAACAUACGAGACCUAUAUAUUUUUAGGAUUAAUGAUGUUCACAUCAAGGGGUAGGGAAUCAAGUUUCAAUUUCUUAAACUUUCCAUUUUACCCUCACCCAAAUUUUAUAAUUUCUAUUUUAUCUUCAAAUAAAAUAUUAUUAUAUUGUAUCAUUUUAUUAUUAAAUAAUAGGAGUAAUAAUUUAACAAUAAUAAUACUACUAAUUAAUGAUAAAAAUUAAUAAUAAAAAUUAUUAUUAUUAUUAUAACUAAUAAUAUUAAUAUUAAUUAAUUAAUAAUAAUAGUAAUGAUAAUUUUAAAAAUAAUAAUAAUCAUUAUUACUAUUAAUGUUAAAAUUAUGAUUAUAAUUAUUAUUUUUCAUUAUCAUCAUCAUCAUCACUAUAAUAAUAAUAAUAUAAUUAAUUAAUUAAUGAUAAAAAAUUAAUAACAAUAGUAAUAAUUUUUAAUAAUAGUAGUAUUAUAAUUAACUAGUGGUGUUGGUGGUGAUGAUAAUUAUAAUACUAUUAAUUAAUGAUAAUAAAAUUAAUAAUAAUAAUUUUAACUAACUAUAUUAAUAUUAAUUAAUUAAUAAUAAUAGUAAUAAUAAUUCUAACAAUAAUUAUAAUUAUUAGUUUCAUUAUCAUCAUCGACGUUGUCGUCAUUAUUAUUAUUAUUAUUAUUAACAAUAAUUAUUUUGAAUAAUAAUAAUCAUCAAAAUUAUUAUAACAAAGAACGACAAAAAUUAAAUAAGGUCAUUUUAAUAACUUGCAACAACUCAUUACUAUUUCAAGACAAAAUAAACACAUCAAUGGUAAUAUAGCUCAUUCCGAUUAUGAUUCAUAUAGUUAAGUAAAUAAUUUAUUAUGAUUCUCAUUCUCGAUUCUGAUUCCCUUGUAUUUCAAUUCCAACUCAUUCUGAUUACCGUUGUAGUAAACACAUGAUAAUAGUAAUGCUAACAUAAUUGAUUGGGUCUAUAAAUAUAAAAACAUGCAUUUUGUCAUUUUGUCAGAUAAGGUCAAGGGCUAGUUAUUGGGUCUAAUAUCGAUUUUUAAGUAACAACAAAAUUUAACUAAAACUUGAGAACAAGAUAAAAAUCUUAAGAAUCAAAAUGAAAAAUUUAGUAAUCAUUGGAUUACAAUUUAUCACUUUAUUUUCCAGUCCAACAUCCUUUUUCAUAAUGUAAGAGUAUUAACGAUAUGCCAAUGAAGCCUACUACUAGUCUAAUGUUUGUAUUUAGCUUAGGAAUAGAAAAUAAUUGGUGUUAAAUCUCAAGGUUUCACCGAGUAGUUUUUAAAUAAUUUUUAAAUUAUAAAAUUCAAUUUAAUAUGAAUAUGUUUACAAAUAAAUUGAUGGCCAUAUCUAAUGGAAUCCAUUAGCCAAUCAGAUAGAUGUUCAGUUAAUUAUUAUCACAUUCGAUCUUAAUCAUUACAGUUGAUUUUGUAAAGACUACGUGUGAUAAUAUUCAAAGUUAUUUAAAUGAGUUUAAAGUUUGUGGAAAAUGGUCUGUUUGAAUACCCGUAAGGGUAUUAGAAGCUAAUUCUGAAACCUUGGGGGUAUUAUCGAAUUUAGGCUAAACCUCAAUGGUUGCCAUAAAAUAUUACCCAAAAAUUACAAACCCGCUCGGCUAGAAAUCAAAAAGUCAAAAAAACGAAACCGCUCUGGAAAAAUAAAAAUAAAACCUUAAUAUCAUCGAAUCAAAAACCCUAAAAGCUAAAACCCUUGAUUUAAAAAUUUUAACAAAUAAAUAAAAAGAACCCUAAAACCCUUUCUUGUAAAACCCUCUUGCUCUUUUGAAUUUGGGUGUAAAAUAAGUAAAUGGGUGGGAUUUUGAUUUGAAGAAAGGAUGCUGAAGAUUGUAAGAACCUCUCCUGCUCGUCGGUUUCUUCUUAAUAGAAAUAGAAUCGGUAAAGAAAACUGCAACCACUCUCUCUCUCUGUGUUUGAGUUUGUUUAGAUAUGAAGGUUUUUUGAUGCUUUUGUAUUUUUAUUACUAAGCUGUCAACUGAACAUUUUCUUGCCUUUUCUUUUUCUUUUUUUAACUAGCAUUUGCUGGAAAUGAUGAAGUAAAUAUUGUGAUUUUGGGAUGUUUUUUAGUGUAUUAGAUCAAUAUUAAAGAAAGGGAAAACUAACUGAUGAUUGACCAUGAACAAUAUUGGUGGAAGAAGCCAUCUUAUUUUGCUUAUUGGUAAAAAAUUAGGGGAACUUUCGAUUCUAAGCGGAACAAUGCAUGUGGUAAGUAUGUAAAGAAGUAUGAUUGGAAACGUGAGGCGUAAAAUGAUUAAAGCUAUGACUUGUUGGAAAGAGUCGCACAAAGAUAAAAUGUUAGUCACAGCAACCUAUCUUAGGAAAUGAUUAUACAUGUGUGUUUUCGUACAUGUUUAAGAAUAUAUUUAUGUGCUUGUGAAAAAAUUAUAUAGAGUGAAAAGCCUACAAAGAUUUGCUGAUCCGUCAGUGCAUGAAGUAAUGAAGUCUGAUAGCAAAUGCAAAUGUAGUCUCAUCGGUAAUGUCAGACAUGGCAACUUCCUGGAUUUGGCAUAAGGAAAUGAAUAGACAUGUAUUUCUGUGUGCCUGUGAAAAAUAAAUGUAGCAUAUAAAAACUUAUAGAUAGUGAAAAGGGCUGAAAAAGGUUGCAUUUAAAACUUUCGUUGGAAGUUGCUCAUGAAGGAUUUUAAUAAAUGAAGCUUAGCUUUUCGUAAGGGUCGAUCUGACUAGCAUACAUGGUGAUAUAGCCAUCUGGGUUCAGCUCAGCUGGCCGUGAGUGCACUUUGCACCCACUGUUACCUGAGAUCAAGUCAUAAUAGAGAGUAAGAGUUGGUGUUUAGUUGGUCAAGUUUCUCAUACCCAUCCGUUUUUCCUUUUAAAUCUUUAGUAUUCAUUUGUUGGGUUUCUAGUUGAUGCAAUGUAUCACGUCUUUCUUUUUAGUUUUGCAUUUUCCUUAUGUCUGAAUUUUCUCAAAUUAUUUGCAACCUUGGUGCUUGACAGCUCUCACUGGGUUAAACAAUGUUGUAAAUGGAUCAAAUAUUCAGUGGUGUGGAAAGUCAUAUGCUGCCUCUGUUCCUUCUGACGCACCGAAAUCCCAGAGAGGUCGGAGGCUUCCAAGAGAUGAACGAAAAGCUAUGGUGGAAUCUUUUGUAAACAAGUAUUUGUUUUUUUUAAUUUAUUUUUUUAUAUCUUCUUUAAACAGCUACAUCAAGCUGUAUUCACACCAUGAUUAUUUUUUAGAUUGACUCUUCUUGAGGGUAUAAUUGUUAGAUUUUUUUCCCAAUAAGAGGGUGUAAUUAUUAUACGAACACAAGGAAAUUGUGUUUUGCUUUUAAUGAAUGUGCCAAUUUUGAAAAGGUAAAUAGAGCAUUCGGAAUGAAUGAAUUUAAAGCUUGGCUUUUUGAGGAAGUAUACGGCAAGGAGAUAUCAUAGCGGACUAUGAUUUAUUUAUUAUUUAUGUUUUAAAAGGACUGUGAUUAUCAAAAAGAAGGUGAAAAUAGAUUUUUUUUUUGUACUUCAACUUCAUCUUGGCAGAGAUUGUAAUUAUCUUAAAGCAUUCAAAAAUUAGGUCUUUGAUUCAUUGGAUGUCCUGGUUAAUCUAUAGGUAUCCUGUUACCAAGUAUUUGUAUCUUAUGUUCUUUUUCCAAUUUAAACUUUAGUAAUCUCAUCUAACUGUGUGAUUGCUUUUGGAUGGGGAAAAGAAAGAGAGAACAGAUUAAUAGCCUUUUAUGCCUUGUACCUUGGGGAAGAUCAAUGUGGAGGAGAAAGGGGGAAGAUGGAAGUUACUUUGUUCAGCAGAUAAAAAAUUAUUAUCACUCUGUGGUUUUAUGAAGCUACUGUUCCAUAGAAGUCAAGUAACACCAUCCCUGGAUCAAUACACCAACAGUGAAGAAGCUAUAACAAAAUUAUGAUUUGUCGCUUGGGAAACUUUCUGAAAUGGGAAAUUUUUACAGUGUUUAGGAAGACAAAACUAGUAAAUUCCAUUGAUUUUUCUUUCUUCACAUUUUGUUGGAUCUUGCCAGUACGAUAGAUUUUGUGUUGUGUUUUCAGGUUGCUGGUAGCCUGAGAAGUAUGGUCCUUAAGUUUGUUUAGAAACAUAUCUUAUGUUCUCUGUUUUAUAUCAUCAUCUUAUUGCUAUUGUUUGUUGUUGGUGAUAAAGAAUAAUACAAAAAUCAAAGUUUUUGUGUUGAAUCUUACCAUUAAUGCAAUGUUGUACAGGUAUAGAGUAACACAUGAUGGGAAAUUCCCAACUGCAUCUGAUGUCUGCAAGAAUGUGGGUGGUUCUUACUAUGUUGUGAAGAUCAUUCUCCAGGAAGUGGUGCACAAAUGUAAAUCAUCAUCUACUGAUGGGACUGAAAAUUUAGUAGGAGAUGGACUACUUAAGGAGCACGAAGUAUGCAUAGAUGGGGGAACUCAAAAUGUGGUUGAUAAAGUAGCUGCUAAUAAUGUGGAGAUUGGUGAUGUCAGUGAAAAGCAUCUAGAAGUAGAGGGUGGCCCAUUCACUUCCUCUGUAGCUGAAAGGAACAUCUUUGAAGAGGUUGAAAAUCCCACAGCUCCAGUACGUAUUUGACAUCUUUCACCUUUUGUUUGGUUGUUUGCAUUUUCCUUUUUUGGGUGGAAAUGGUAGUUCCUCUGUCAAAACAUAAUUAGAUGAAUCAGAAAUUUUAAAGCCUUUUAGGGUUUAUCAACUGAAUUGUGGUUCAUGCCCAUGGAGGUUGGAAGGUUGAUUGUAGGAAUUCCUCUGCGGUUGCUGCUGUACCGUACAUCCGCCUUGGCCGUACAGCAGUAAACUAAAAAUAUUUUAAAUGCAUGUAUUUUACUUUUCAAACUCACAACAACUACAACAACACAAUUUACCAAGCACUGAGUUACUUUUCUAAUCAGUAGUUUAUUUCAUUUGCACAGUAGAAGAAAAUUAUUUCAUUAACUACUGCAAUCUAAAUUAGCCCUUAAUUGAGUAACAAAAAAUUUAAAGAGAUCAUAACAUUUUCAAACUAUAAAUUUGAAGCUAAUCCCGAGUUUCAAUUAAAAUCUUUAUGUUUUUCAAAGAGUUUUUUUUUUUUUUUUACAAUUUUGCACUUAGUCAAUGGUAAAUCUUUUCCCUUCUCGUAUGGAUAUAAGUUGAAGUUUCAUGUCAGCAUUAAUUUUAUAAUAUUAAAAAGAAAAAUUGCUUGGUAACCACUUGUUUAAAUUAAAAAAAAAACGCAUGUUUAUAUUAGUUGAUUUAUUUUUAUGUAUUAAAGAAUAAAUUCACGCUAUUUUGAGUUUAAAUAUUCUGACUAGAUGUCUCAGUUUAUUUAAGGGGGUUAUCUUAGAUUUUUUUUUUUAUUGGAAAUAUCACUGUCAUGUAAUAUUAAAAACAAGAAUCCAAUUUUGAAUUUUAAGGAAUCAAACAUAAGCCGAUUGAAAAAUAAACAUCUUUGCGAUUUCUAUCCUCAUUUGAUUAUUUCUACAUGACGAACACGUGCACCGCACGAGUAGAGGAGCAUUUCACAUUUUUUUUAUUCAUUCCUUUUUAUGAAAAAGUAUUUAGCUAUAUAAAACCCUUAAAAAAAAAAAAGUAUGACGGAAGUGAAAAGGAGGAAAGGGUUUUAACUUUCAAUCGUUCUACAGUGGCUGAAGCUCUGCGCAUACGAGCUCUCUGUCUCUCUUACUGUAAGCUUUCUUCUUCUGUUUGUUCUUUGCAUAUUUUCUAUUUGCAUUUUAGGGUUUUAAUUUUAUUCAGCUUAUACUUGAUUUUCAUCAGUAAUUUCAUGACAUUAUUAUGUACAAAUUUAGUUAUUUUGGUGGUUUAUUUUGCAUUCUGAUUGCUGGUGGUAAAUGGGUUUUUAGGCUUUGUUCUAUUCUAUUAAUCUUUCGAGAUUUACGCUUCUAGGGUUUUAUGUUGUUGGUUUUCUUGGUCUUAUUUUAUUUAAUUUUUUAAAAUCUAAAUAACAAUGUUAUUGAGUUAUGAUUAAUAUUCUUCUCUUUUUGGCCUCUCUGUAACGUGAUUGGUGCUUUCUUUGACCAAAUAGUCAUGGUGGGUCAUUUUAUUUUUGUUAAGGAUGCUAGAUAACUUUGUUAAAUUGACCAUAUUUCUAUUCCAUUCUAUCUUGCAUAGCCGCUAAAGAUGCUAUACGUUGAGUAUUUAUUAUCUAUACUGUUGUCAAUGUCAUAUAUCUAAUUUGUGUUUUCGCUUUCUCAUGAAAUCAAACUUGCUUUGCAGAAUUUUUGUUUGCUACCAGUCUUGUGAAGGAUUUUUCAAUUAAGGGGUUCUUAAGUUGCAAAAUGUCAGGCGGCCCUGGGCUUGAGUCUCUUGUAGAACGUAUGUGUUCAUUAUUUUCCCAUUUUAUCACCAAUGUCUUUCAUGUGUCAUUUUUGUAUGCAAUAGAACAAGGUGUCUAAGAGUCAAGCUUUUGGAAUUUUGCUGAUCCGAUUUUCUUUCACAGCUUAAAAGCAACUCUUUUUUUAUGUUUUUUUGUUUGGGGGGAGGGGCGGGGGGAAUUUUCUAAUUGUAACACUCCUUUAUUCUGUUUAUCUUCAUUGAAAGUAUAUUAUAGACCUAAAUCACUGUCUAGAUUUGAGGGGAAGUGUAAAAUAAUACCUAAGGUAUGGUUAACAUACUUGAGGGAACAUUAAUUUACUUUAAUAGAAUAGAAAGAGACAUGAUAAAAGGUGUUAAUGAAGACAUUUGCUCAUGAGUCUAGGCACAUAAAGCAGGAGUUUGUUUGCUUUGCUUGCAAGCAGUAAGGCUGACUAGGCUUUAAUAAGUCUUAAAAACUAGUUUCCUGGAGUUGGUUUUGAGGCUCUCAAAAUAUUUUAAAAUCUCCUUUUUCAUUUUUUUUUUCCCAACUUUAACUUUUGUUGGGGGGAAGAAAUUGGAACUGUACGUGUAGUUGUUGACGCUUUGUCCUGCACUUUUCAGCAUCUGUUGGGGCAUAAUUUUCUUCUCAUCUGUAAUUCUUGAUUGUUUUCCUUUUUCUGCAGAGCAAAUAUCAGUUAUCACAAAUGACGGACGUAACAUAGUGGUAUGUUACAACACUAGCCCCGUAAAUCUACAUGAUCUUUUAGAAUAUUAGUUCAGUGAUCUACAUUGUCUUUAUCAUAUAAUUCCUAAGGUGCAUUUUCUAUAAUAAAUGUAGGGAGUCUUGAAAGGAUUUGACCAGGCUACAAAUAUAAUCCUUGAUGAAUCUCAUGAGCGUGUUUACUCGACUAAGGUAUUUAUCCUCAUCUCAAUGAGCUACUUUGCAAUUCGCUUGCUGCCUUAGUAAUUGGAGGUAAAAUGGGUUUAAAGUUCAGUCGGUAUCCUUAAGAAAACCAAAUGAAGCAUUACUUGUGUUGAAUCUGGCUGAUUUUGUUAUUGCAGGAAGGUGUUCAGCAACUUGUGUUGGGAUUGUACAUAAUAAGGGGUGACAACAUGUAAUGCAAUUUUCUUAUUGUCAUUACUUUAUUAUAGCACUUAUACUUGUUACCUAAUCUGUCAUUAUGUUAAUAAAAGAAUGAUGAAUUGAUUCUUUUGAUUAUUGCAGAAGCAUCGUUGGGGAAGUUGAUGAAGAGCUGGAUUCUCAUCUUGACUUGUCCAAUUUGAGAGCUCAUCCCCUCAAACCAGUGAUCCAUUAAUGGACUGUUAAAAGAUGUAGAGCUGUUGUGGACUCAAUGAAGGAUUAGAACAAAAACUGAUAAAUUUUAUGCAUUAGAUGUAUUUAUUACUUCUGAAGUCUUUGUUUUGAUGUUACUGAAAUUUGUAUAUUAUUGAUGUUAAAGGACCAGUUACCGAACGUUGGGGCAAGAUUGAUAUCAGCUAAAUCAUAGUCGUCUGCGCUUAUUCAUAUUUUUAAGCAACGCAGAUUGCAUGAAGCAUAAGGUAAACCACAUUAUAUGUGAAUAUUUGUUAACAGCAACAGUUAGGAUCAUUCCUAAAAGGAUUGCAAAACCGAACCAGGGAAACAAAAAAAGGUGGAAAUCAUAACCAGUGAUUCUAUUUCAUAUAUGUACUUAAUGUACAAAAAGGCAAUCUGCACGUAAUGUUUUGGUGUUGAAAAUGAAACACAGAAGUCUUCUGAAGUCAAAUCAGUAGCUAUAGCAAGCAUUUGUUGACAAGAAAACAGAACCCCAGCUUUCCGCGGCAAAAAAAUUCAAUAAAUGAAAUUCUCAAGGUUUAGUUGAUGUAGAAGAAACAGAUUCCCGGCUUUCUUGAGGCAAAAUUUACGUCACAAAAAUUCUCAAGAUUUUGUCGCCAUGAGCCUGCUCUUCAAACCAAAAUCUGGAUGCAAAACAGUAUAUUGACAUGGGAAACAAGCAGUGGAGCAAAACUAUCGAUGGACUUUGACCAAGUCGACAUCAAAUUCCAGCCAUGAGUAAGGUGGAAUAUUCUUACUAUCAUCUCCUCCACUUCCGUAACUACAUUAGAAAUAAACAUGUCAAGAAAGGAAUUGGCUUUGAAAGAAAAUCAAUAAGGAAAAGAGAUUCAAUCACAUACCCUAGAGAGGGAGGGAUGAGUAGCCUUCUCUUUUCACCAACAUGCAUACCUGAUAAUACCAAUACAUGCAUAAAAAAGUGCAACAAAGAGUUACAAUAGAGAUAAGGUAACUAGUAAAUAACUAAGAAUAGCUGCCUUCAAUCAUGUUAAAGGAGAAACAAAAAAAUGAGUCUAAAUGAUUAUACCUUCAAGUCCGACAUUCAAGCCCUCUAUAACUUCUUUUCCACCUGUUAUUACCGACAUGAUCAAAUGGAUAAGACAUAAGAUUUGAAGAAACAAAAAAAAUUAAUACACCAUAUCAUUGCAAUCCAACAUUUCAUUUUAACAAGAUAUCACCUAAGUGGAACUUUAAGGGGGUGCUCCCAAGAUUUGAGUCAAAUACUUGUCCAUUUUCCUUUAACUUUCCAGUAUAAAGGACACUGAUCUGCAAUCAAAGAGAAGACCUUUCAAUCAACAAAAAUUCUUUAACAUCGUCUACAGUCUGCUAUAGCAGAAUGUUCAAGAAAAGGGAAUGAAUCGACAGAUAAGAUGGAACUCUAGAUGAGAAUGAAUAAAAAAACAAUACAAAACUCAUAACUCUUCCAUCAUGUCAUAAAAAAACAAUACAAAACUCAUAACUCUUCCAUCAUGUCAUAAAAAAACAAUACAAAACUCAUAACUCUUCCAUCAUGUCAUAAAAAAACAAUACAAAACUCAUAACUCUUCCAUCAUGUCAUAAAAAAACAAUACAAAACUCAUAACUCUUCCAUCAUGUCAUAAAAAAACAAUACAAAACUCAUAACUCUUCCAUCAUGUCAUAAAAAAACAAUACAAAACUCAUAACUCUUCCAUCAUGUCAUAAAAAAACAAUACAAAACUCAUAACUCUUCCAUCAUGUCAUAAAAAAACAAUACAAAACUCAUAACUCUUCCAUCAUGUCAUAAAAAAACAAUACAAAACUCAUAACUCUUCCAUCAUGUCAUAAAAAAACAAUACAAAACUCAUAACUCUUCCAUCAUGUCAUCUGGUAAGAUGAGCUCGGAUGAAAGCCCAAAACAUUUUGCCCACCCCCUUAGCUGGACACAGAUUCAAGAGAACUUGCCUUUUUCCCGGGUGCAGCUACCUUGCCAUCUGGUUUCCCUGUUCCUAGAUUCUGAAUGACUAAUCCAUUAGGCAAGGUCCUAAGCUGAGAUAACUUGCCUUCAGCACUGCUGUUCUCAGUGACCAUAACAGAUCCGCUCAUUGCAUCCAUUGAUAAUGGAUGUGUUUCCAUGUUCGAAUCCUUCCCAUCCUCUUCGGUUCUUCUCUUCUUCUUCUUUUUCUUCUUCUCAGGUUGAAGUUCAGCAACAGAUUGAUCAACAUCAUUCCCAGGAAUCCUGCAUUUAGUGUAUAGAGAAAAUUAAAAUACUAAACUAGCCAGAAUAUAUGCCCUUUGCAUUGAAGGUAGCAAGCACAUCCGUUGCAAUUUAAUAAACACCAUUUAUGAGACUACCUCUUUGAAUUUGUGCGUGAGAUGCGACUGCACAAGUAAAAACUAUAAUAUAAAACAUCAAAACAAACCAUGAUACUCACACAUCAGUAACUUGCUGCUCAUUUUGCUCAACUCUUCCAGGAGUAUCCUGGCCCAUCCUGUCAUGCUUCACCUCAUCAUGAAGGGCUUUAUCCCCUUUUAUAACAUUGGUACAGUCAACACUGUCAGCUUCAAGACUUUUCUGUUGCUCUUUUCUUUUCCUCUUCUUUGGCUUGGCAUUAUUUACAGAACCCACAUUCUCGCUGCCAGAGUUUAUCAGAACAAUAAAGAUAAGUUAGAUGACAAGAAGCAACAAAUAGAUUAGACUCCCUGAUUAAAACUAUUUGCAAAGACGACAAUAUAGAUCAUGAGAGAGAGUAACUUAUUUUCUGUUUAGCAUUAUUAAUUAUACUUAGAUGCAUUUUUCUUUCAUUCAGUCAAAACUAUGUAGCAAAUGAGUUUGUGUUUGGCUUUAGUAUCAAUUUAGAGGAAUAGUUUAUUUCUUUUCUCUUGCAAGACAGAGAGAGGAUUUUUAACUAGCCGAUUUAUAACUGACCUAUAUGAUUUCUAAUAUUCUGUAAUGCAAGAAUAAAACGACAAGAAGAAUACUUACACAUGAUUAGAUGUCUUCUGAUUUUCUUCAUUUGGAACAGGCAAAUUUUGUAUGAUUUUGUCAGUCUCUGUAUCAUUUUGGAGGCCUUUUUCCUCCACUUGUGUGCCCUCUUUGGACUGCACUUUCUUUUUCUUCUUAGGCUUUGCACCAUUCUCCAGGCCCACUUCCGCAGAAGGCAGCACAGAAUCACACAUGUCAGACCUGCUUGUGUACACCAAAUAAGUUGGACACACAGAUUGAUUAAUAAGAUCCAAAAUCCAUUGCCAUUAUUCAUUAAUCUAUAACUAAUGUUAUAUCACUAUUGAACUAAAACACAAUAAGAUGGAGAAUGGCUCAUUUCAAAACUUUUGAAUAUCCAAAAAAAAAAAAAAAAAGAAAAGAAAAGAGAAAACUCUAUGCCAACAUGGUUUUCUGUAGAAUGACAAGGCAUGGCCUGCACUGGGAACCAACUAAAACAAUUAUAUCUUCAACAGUUAUACAGACUCUCACCUUUUGGGCUCACCAUUAACAUCAUCAUCACUUCUUUCUUCUGACAGGAUAAAGCAAUUUCCUUCAUCUUUCGCCUCAUCAGUGCUGGUCCCACCAGAUUUCCUGACAUUGAUUUCUCUUGUUUCAAUGUUUUCUUGUUUAUCUGAACUAACCUUACAAAGAGAGGAAAUUGGCUGCAUAUCUUCACUUUCACCAUCUGAUGCUGCUGCAGCAGUACUACCAUCGGCUAACAUUUGUUUUUGAGCACUCACAUCAUCAUCAGACUCAAUCAAUUGGUAAUUCUUCCUAAGCCGCCUGUGGCUUCCUUUUUGCCUGUCUGGUAUCUCCUCAAUUUCUGGAAUUAAAGACCAAAAAGUAAAUAUCAAACACCUUCAAAUAUUUAUUGCUUACAAAAGCAACACCUCCAAACAAGUACCCUUUAAACUGAUACAUGAAAAUGAAUUAAUGGGGGAAAAAAAAAACACUCAACCUUUUUGAGCACUACCAUCCUCGUCAGAUCCACUCAAUUGGUUCUUCUUCCCAAGCCGUCUACGGCUUCCUUUUUGCCUAUCUGGUAUCUCCUCAAUUUCUGGAAUUAAAACCAAAAAAGAAAAUAUAAAAAACCUUCAAAUAUUGAUUUCUUACAAAGAAACACCUCCAAACAAGUAUCGUUUAAACUGAUAAAUGAAAAUUCUUUAUUGGCAAAAUAAUUUUUAAAAAAUAACAGUCUAACCAGAAAAUGGAAUGCAUUCAAACCACAUAAUGCAAUUAAUAAAACUCAAUGGCCAAUUCUGGUAAAUCUCAGUGGAAGCAUAUGGAGCACAUUCAUCCAAAAUAGCUGACAAUGUCAAUGUGCCAAAUUGAGGUAUUUCUGAAUAUAUCCAGAAAACAGUACAUUUUAAAUAAUAAUAUUCAAUUUCUCACAACAUCUAACUCUAAUACACAUUCACUUGUUACCAUAUCAAAUAAUUCUAAUUGAAUUAAUAGUCAAAGUUUGUUUGAAACACGUUGGUCAGAAAUUGAUUUUUCAAAUGACUGACCAGUAUAAUGGUUGUACAGGUACUUGGACUCUUGGUACUCUCAGAAAAUGUACCAAAGUAUGCAAAUAUUUGAUGGGGCCAAAUUUUUUAGUUGAAUUAGGAACUUAACAUUUUACUUGAUCGGAUAUUUGACAUUGGUGCUAAUAUCCCAAAAUUUAACUUUGAUGUACACCAUUCAAAAUAAAAGAAGGUUUGUAUAAAUGGUUUGUGAUGCCAUUUGUAUUAUUGGAUAAGCCGAUUACCUAUAUGCAUUUGAUGAAUUAGGUCAUUAAGUGUAGUUUUCUAUUGAGCAACGUGGAUUUUUUGGGUUUUAUAGUUGGCAUAGACAAGAAUAAAGUGUCGAUUUGAAGAUACAAGUGAUUAAAGAAUGGCCUAUGCCCAAAACUAUGGGUGAAGUUAGGAGUUUUCAUGGGCUAGCAACAUUUUAUAGGAGAUUCAUUAAUGGUUUUAGCAUUAUAAUUGACCUAAUUGCUGAAUACUUGAAGAAAAUGAAGUUUAAUUAGGGAGAAGAGUGAGUGACCAGUUUUACUUUAUUAAAGGAGAAGUUGUCCACCGGUCCUGUGUUAGCCUUUCCAAACUUUGACAAGUUGUUUAAAGUUAAGUGUGAUGCUUCUGGUAAGGAUAUAUGAGCUAUUCUUUCUCUGAAGGGCCGACUAAUGAAGUAUAUGAGUAAGAAGUUAAAUGAGGCAUGAUAGAAGUGGUCUAUUUAUGACCAAGAAUUCUAUACGAUCUUUUGGGUGAUAAAGUAACGGGAGCAUUACUUGAUUUAUAAGGAGUUCUUACUUUACUGUGAUCAGCAAACAUUAAAGUACUUUAAAAGUAAGCAAAACCUUAGGUAAACUAUAUAUAGAAUUUACUUUUGUUCUAAAGCAUAAGUUGGCCAGUGGAAUAAAGUAGCAGACAUGCUAAGUAGGCGAACAACAUUAUCGGUAGCUCUAGUAAAUGAAGUUACUAGUUUUGAAUACUGAAAAGAGCUGUACGAUGAAGAUAAAAAGACCUUGCGGAUAUUUGAGAUAAGUGUAUCAAUCAUCAGAAUAUGAAAGACUUUUUCAUUCAAUAUAGAUAUCUAUUAAAGGCUAAUCAGUUAUGUGUGUCUCCUAGUUUUUUAAAGGAGUAGAUUAUCUGUGAGUUAUAUGGAAAUGGUUUGAGCAACCAUGUUAGUCAAGAAAAGACCAAGGCACUUGUCGAAGAGCGAUAUUAUUGGCCAUAAUUGAAUAGAGAUGUGCGUAAGAUUAUGCACAGGUGUUGGAUUUCUCAAAAAGGCAAAGGACAAUCGCAAAACACUGGAUUAUACACAUUAUUUCCUAUUUUGAAGAAUAAUUAGUUGGAUCUAUCCAUGGAUUUUAUGUUAGGAUUGCUUCGUGUAAGGAUUGGUUGAGAUUUUAUACUUGUAAUUGUUAAUAGAUUUUUAAAGUCGAUGCAUUUUUUGCUUAUAUGAAAAUUGAAAAUGCUUCUCCUAUGGCGCAUUUGUUCUUUUGAAAAGUGGUGCGUUUACACGGUGUUCUAAAGACAAUUACUUAUAAUAGGGAUAUAAAGUUCAUCAGUAAGUUUUAGAAUUAUGUUUGGGAUCAAUUCGAAAUGCAAUUGCAAUUUAGUAGUGCUUUCCAUCCUCGGAUAGGUAGACAAAUGGAAUUAGUCAAUUGAACUUUGGGCAAUAUGUUGCACUUUGUUUGUGGUGACAAUCAGUGGAAUUGGGAAAUUAUAUUUCCUCAGCUCGGGUUUGAUUACAAUAGCAUAAUGAAUUGAUCUACUAGAAAAGCUUCUAUUAAGUUUAUCUAUACUUUUUCUCCACACCAUAUAUAUGAUCUAGAUGUCAUGUCAAUAGUAGCUCGAGUAAGCAAAGUAGCGGAUAAUGUGGCAAAUAAGGCUCUACAAUGCACUCACUUGGAGGUUGUUAAAGCUAAAUAAAAAGCUGAUGUAGAUAAGCACUAGUGCAAGAAAGUGUUUUAAGAGGGUGAUUUGGUGAUGAAACAUUUGAGGCAAAGCCAUUUUCCUAGCAUUUACACUAAAUUGGAGUAGCGAAAGUAUAAUGAAUUUCAUAAGAUUAAUGAUAAUGCUUAUGUGCUCUAGCUACCAAAAAAUUAGAUUAUCUCUCAUGCAUUCAAUGUGAUUGAUUUGUUUGAGUAUCAUUUAGAUGAUGAGGAACUAUAUCAGCCUAACUUGAAGAUGGGUUCUUUUCCAAUUGACGGGGACUGAUGUAGCAUAGUUGUGUAGGAUGAGCAAGGUACAUUUCAGAGGUCAUACCUUGGGCUACAUGUGUUAGUUUUAGACAUGUAAUAUACUAUUUCGAAGGUUACAACAAGAUAAACAAAAAAUAGAAUUGCUUAUGUUGUUUUAUCACAUGAUCUAGUAAAAACUUUUAUGUUUUUCUUAGUCGUUUGGCCAUUUUUAAUUUUUUUUUAUUUUUUUAUUGCUUUCAACAUUUUUUUUUAUUCUUGAUAUCAGAUCCGAGUACUGUUUAUUUUAUUUUCCUUAUUUAAAUUAUGGUAAUUUUAUUAUAAAAUAAUAUUUUAGAUUUACUUAUUUUGAUAAAUUCAAGAUAUUUAAGAUUAGUACAAAAGCUCUACAAAACCAUAGUUUUAUUCAUUAAGACUUUUUGGUAAUACUUUUGUUAUUGGGUAAACUUAGUAUCUUUUAUUCAUGCAAAUAUGGAAGUAAGUUUCUUAGGAUGAGAUCUUGAGAAUUAUAACUUGUUACUUAUAACUACCGAAAUUGAGACUAUAAUUUUUUUAUAACUAUAUAACAUUUAUUAUAUAUAUAGUAAGACCUCUCUCUCUAUAUAUAUAUGAUUUUCUUAAUUGUACUAGCAUAAUACUUUAUACAUUUCAUUGUUCAUUGUUACUUUUUUACAUCUUCUAGAUGAGAAGCCAUUGUUGUGUUCUAUGUACUAUGUUGAGACAAAUAAGAGAGAAUUGGCUUAAUAUGUUAUCUUUAAAAUGUCUUCUCUAAUAAGCUAUCAUGUAAUUGCAAUCCAACCAUGGAAUCUAGCCAAAGGACUAUCAAAUGGCUGAUUCAGUCAAUUAACAUAAAAUAAGAAUCAUAUCAUACAACUUGAAAAUUACAUUCUCUAAUUAUAUUAACUCUAUACUUCAUAAAAAUUUCUAUUAUGAAUAUGAUAUUAUCUUUAUAAAUUAAUAAAUCAUUUAUCGAUAUAUUAAUUUUUUGCUAAAUUAAUAGAUUUUUCAUAGUCCUAAAAGUGACAGAGCCAUUACGCUUGUCUUAAAAAUCCUUGAAAAUAUGUUAUACAUGUUUAAGUGCAAUUACAAAAUUGUCCCUAUUAGAUUAGUUAUUUGUUUUAAUUUAAGUUUAAAAUUUCUUAAGAAAUUUGAUCAAUUUUGAGCUCAAUUGUAAAGGGUCAUUUUUAAAAGCUUCUUCUAUGAUUUGGGGUAAUUACAGCUAGAUGGCGAGUUUCCUUGCAUCUUCACUUACCUCCCAUGCUAUUAGUAUGAAUACAUGUUGAUGGUUAAUGAACUGUCAAAAUAACCAAAAUACACUUUUGGGUUAUUCAGCUAAGAAGAAGUGCAAUUUGGUACCCAAAAUUUGGUAGGAAGCUAUCAGCUCACCAAUUGACCAAACUUCUGAUGAAAGGAUUCUCCUUUAUUAUUUAAUGAUCUCUAGUAUAUCAUAAAUACCUCUGUAAAAUAAAAGAUGUACGUUGACUAAUAAUAAUUUUAUUUUUCUUGGAAAAGAAAUCAAAGUUGCCAAUAUUAGCAUUGCUAUCAAUAAUAUUAUUGGUAGCACCUUUCCUUAUUUAUACACCACUUCAGCAAGUAUUAGCCCCUAUCACCAUUGCACAUCUAUUUUCGAGCAAAAAAUACGCACCAAUAGACCAACUAGUCAAGUUUUUGUUCAACAAGCACAUGGAUUCUCAAAGCUUAAAUGAAUCAUGAAGGCCAAACAUGCAACAAGAAUAUGAGCCAACAUAGAGAAAUUGGGUUAAUGGCAAGCUGAUUAGCUUCUCAAAAUUUAUAUGUAGAUGUCAUAUGAGAGUUGAAGUGAAGAUAUGAGUAUCGAAUGAUAAUCAUCAAAAGUUGUAUUAUACAUGCAUGAACAAACCCAAAUGCGACUACUACAAGUGGUCGGUUUCUGAAAGAGAUAACUUCAACAAUGGGGUUGUUUUUGAAUUAAAUAUGGUUGGCAUGGUGGAUUCUCAUGUCAUUAGCAUAAUAGAUAAUAAUGUGAAGUGAAGAGUAUUAUCAACAAGCUACAAAAAUAUGGACAUUUUGAAGGUGCAAUGAAGAUAUUAAUGCACUGUAAUAUAGAGUUGUCAUCAAUGAAUGUUAAUAAUGCUUAAGAUGCAUAUGUAACUCUCGUCCUAAAUAAAAAAAAAAAAAAAACAGAUGCAUGUCUUAAAUUAGUAAUGGAAUCAGGAAAGUUUAUGCUUAAUUACUAUCUGGAACAUAAGUUUCUCUGACUCUUCUUAAAUAAACAAGUUGCAAUAAGCACAAAUAACACUGGUUUAAUUCAAAAGAAUGUGCUAUAUGAACAAUAAACUAUCCCGAUAAAGAAUUAGCAUGUAAAAUUAAAACCACAAGAGCAUGCUUGUAAGUGACAAUAAUUAAAUUGAAAACUAGUGUGCAUAUAAAGACCAAACUAGCAAGUAAAGUGACAACAAUAUACAAAACCAGACUUCUGACCCACCAUCACCAAACCAGCAAACAAAGGUAACAAUAGUUUAAAUCAACACCACGAAUCUAGUAAGAUACAAAACUAGUCUCCAAACUGAACACAAACCACCAACACCACUAAAACAGUAAGAUACAUAAGCAGGCUAAAAACAAUUGAACACUGAAUCAACAACCAAAGGUAACAAUGGAUAAAUAAACAUCACCAAACCCACAAGGUUUGGAACUAGCCUUGAAAUUGAACACCAAACUAGCAAGCACAAAGUCCAUUGUAGUUUCAUAGAUAACAAAACCAAUAGGAUGAAGAAUAAAGACUAAAAUUGAACACUAAACUUGCAACUUGAAGUAACAAUAUAACUCAACAACGAACUAGCAACGAUAACCAAAUUAGUUUUUCACAAGUACUUUAAAAUUUUGGAUCUCAAUAAGACUUAGCACAAUGGUUCCAUAAUUUGAAAGACAAUGAUUAAUUAUAUUAAUUUAAACAACUUACAUUUAGUGAUCGUCACAAUUGGCUGAAUUUCAUUAACCUUUAAAAUAAAAAAUAACCAUAUUUACAAAAGAAAAAGAAAAAUAACUUUACUAAUAGUUCGCCAUCAUAGAUGAGUUAUAAUUCAUAGACGGCAUUGUCAUUAUAAUGUGAAUUUGUUAAUAUAAUACAAAAUAUAUAAAAACGCAACCUUAUGUCUACGUUUGAAUACCAAAAGAUAAUACAACAUCUUAAUUAUAAUGCUUACACUUAAAACGUUAUUGUAUAAUCAGAUUCCUUAAAAGAAUAUGUUGUAUAGGACUACUUUGGGUUUUGUUGCCUUUAUAAUAAUAUAGAAAAUUGUGUAGUUGACAUGCUGCUGAUGUAAUAACUUUAAAUUUGUUACUUUUGAGUUACUUGUCCUUCAUUAGCAAAUAGACCUAAUUAGAACCUUAUAUAGUUUUUAUAUACACUUUGUUUGAAAAUAUAAACAAAACAUAAUUGAGAUAGUUAAGAUAAUACCACGUCUAAUGACAUUGGACUAAGUUGAUACUAUAUUUCUAGCAGAUGCCCUUAAAUGAAUACCAUCAUAAUCAUACUUUGAACUAGAGUAUUCACCUUCCUGCACAUAUAUACACAUAUACAUAUAUACACAUAUGCGUACACAUACACACAUAUAUAUCAGCGGUUGAUAUGUUAUUUAGAAAAUAGUCAUGCAUGAAAAUAAAUUACAAGACUAUAAUCACUAACCUUUGAAGAAUUUCACUUCAGUUCCACUUUCUUGACCUUCAAACACUAUGUAAAUACCUUAUAACCCCUUUUAUUAUGACUCUAACGAUUAUAUCUUGAGUAUUUCACACUAGAAACUACUUUUGAAGGACUUUGCUUCACUAGAUUCUUUCUUUUUCUUAAUCUUAGGCUGGCCAGCAAGUCUAAUGAUAAGUGGUGGUUGAAGAUUAUCAUGCCCAAGCAGAGACCAUUUGCUUUCAUCCACCAUUGGGUAUAAUUGGUGACAAUAGGUGUUCUUGAAUGCUAUUUCCCUCAUAAAUAUGUGAAUAUAGUCAUUCACAUUAUACAUCAUGGCAUCAAUGCAAUAGAUUACAUGCUUGCAAGUCAACCCUAAUGUAUCCUACUUACUGCAGUCACAAUGUUUUCCUAACAAAUCAACAACAGUCCUUAUAGAUAUAUCUUUUAUCACCUCAAAUGUUUUUUUGUGACCAAAUUGUUAACAUGUAUAUGUUUCUAAAAUUGAUUUUGAUGAUAACAAACUUUAAUGUUUUUAUUAAAAAUGUUGGAGUUUUCAUUAAUAGAUAAAUUCUUAAACGCCGUAUAAUAUUUCCAGACAUGUUUAUGAAUUUGGAUAAACGUUAACUUUAAUCAGAAAAUCAUUCUCUACAAAAGACUAUUAAAAUGCUAAUUCUAGAAAAUAACGGUGAAUCGUUUACUGAAAAUAGUUAACCGAUAAAUUCUAAAGAGCUAUAAAUUUGUUAUGCAAGUUUAUGAAAAUAAAUGGCUAACCAAUAAUGUCAAACAACUGACCGAUAAUUUCAGAAAAGAAUUACAUUCUAACUGUGAACCGUUUAGCAAGAACGGUCAAGCUAAAUUUGUUUUACAGGUUUCUGGAAAUUAAUGGCUAAUCGAUAAUUUCAAAUGGUUAACCGAUUAUUUGAAAUUUCAGCUCAACGGUCAUUUGGACGGUUAAUUGAUAGAAGUUAACGGCGAACUGAUUUUGUUCAGAAAGUCAAUAAUGGCUAGUUUUCAGCUCCAACUAUAAAAUGACUUAAUCAAAUUCAAAUAAGAAGUCAUCCAAGAGUUAUUAUUGAGCUUUCAAUUAAGAAUACAACCUUCAUUGAGCCUUAACUUGUUCUUGUUUCAUUUAUUCACACUUUGAGCUCUCAUUUGUAGCUAUAUACAUUGUGUGAAAGAAAAUUCAUUUGUAAUAUUUGUUUUUGAGUGAUUGUAAGUGUUGGGAAACACUUGGGUUAAGAGAUUGAGGAUAAUCUCUUGUUGUAAAGGUUUAUUGACACAUUCGAAGUCAAUUGUAAGAGUUAUUGUAGGAUUAGAGGCUCGAUUAGUGGAAUCCUCAAGCCCGGUGAGCUUAGAGGCGUGGAUGUACGCACGGUUGGCCGAACCACAUAAAAAUCACGUGUUUGCUCUCUUGUACUCUAUAUCCUUAUUUUUGAUUGCAUAUUAAUUUGUUUAUUUCGAAUUUGAUUACUUUGUUUAAUUUGCAUUUAGUUUUAAUUGCUUAAAUUUUUAGAAGCCCAAUUCAGCCCCUAGUGGGUUGCCUAGUUAAUAUUUCACAAACGUCAUUGUCGAUGAUCUAAAUGCCUUCCUUGAUUUCAUAACCCCCUCAUAACAGAAGGUAACCCAUCCUGCCAAGUAAGAACUUGUUUCUAUCUCAUGUGAAUCAGUUUCAUCAUUUUCCUCUUUAUUUCUUUAAGCAUUUUGAGAUCAGUCUGCUUCUAAAAUUUGAGAUGUUGAAAGACUUAGUCAUGUUAUUGGUGACAUGGUUGCUUUUAGUAUAGGUAGAAAAAAAUAUUUAGCCCAACAGACUGUUGGUAUUUACAUUAACCAAUCAUGUCCAAUGCGUUAAUUUCCUAAGCAAAAAUUUUACUUCUACAUGCUUGCUAGAAUGAUUUCCUAAGCAAAACACUAGGAAAUUUCUGCUUAAAGUUUGCAUAAAUAUGUCUACAAUAAUAUAUCUUCAAAACUUGAGGAAACACCCUCUCCAAUGCAUUCAAUGUCCCUUCUGUCAGUCACUCAUAAAAUACAAGCCAUCCUUAUCAUUAUAGCCUAUUUGUUCAUAUAGUUUCUAUAUAAAGUAUGCCCUCUAUUGUUAUUUUCUACUACACAUAAUGCCAAUAGAUAAAUGCCAUGCUGCUUUUGAAAAAAAUCCCUUUUUACUCGCAUCAAAGAACACAAAGAAUCAUCUAAAAUGAGGAUUAACUCUAUCCCUAACCAAUCCCUAUAUAACGAUACUGUGGAACUAGGAUCAGAAACAAGUAUUGCAUGCAUAUGCCUAAACAGUUUGCUUUAAUUCAUUUUAUAGUCUUGUCCUAAUAGUUUUAAGGCCUUGUUUUUUCUAUGGUACAACCUUUGAUUGCGGCUAGUUAUCCCAUAUCUUCUGAAUAUUUUUUAUGUAAUGUCAUUAAUUGGAAGUUGAUUAUUAGCUCUGAAGAGAUGAAGAAAGGUAAUAGUUAUCCACAUUAAUUUGCUUCAUAGUUCUCACUGUUCCUUCAAAAGCAUGCUUUGAAUACUAAGUCUUAAUCUUAAAAUUACCCUUAUUUCGAUAAUGUAUCGUCCAACUACAUUCUAGUGCAGAACACUUGAAUGUCAUAAAAAUCACAAAUUAAUGAGUUUGUAUAUCUCUUGAAACUAUAAAUAGAAUAAAUCAUAAACAAAACACAACCAAUAACAAUAUUCAUUAGUAACGUAGAUAUAUGUCUAAACCCAUUCUCCUUUUAAUCAAUUUUUUUCCACCAUCAGCUUCAUAACAACAGUUCAAACUCAGCAAAAUUUGGAUGAAAAAAUAAAAAAAGAUUGGUGCGCAUACUUCUAUGUUACAUACCAAUUUGCAUAAAAAUCAUAAAUUACUAACUUUAUAUGCCUUGUUACAUUAUGAAUAGCAUAAAUCACAAACAAAACAUAGCCAAUAACAACUUUUUUCAACUAAUAUAGACAUAUAUCCGAACCCAUUCUCAUUUUAAUCAUUUUUUUCAACACCAGCUUCAUAACAAUAAAUCAAAAAUAUUCAAAUACAACUUCUGAAACUUCUAUCUCCAAAACAAGAAAGUUGAAGCUAAAUAAUAAAUCAAAUGUAUUGUUGAAAAUCACCGGGACAAAACUGCUUUUAUUACAAUCAAGGCUUGUACUAAUAUAUCAUGCCUUUUUGCUUAGAAAAAAUAGAGCAACAUGUUAAAGAUUGGUGAACCUCAUGUUUUAA